UUGGUAAUGAUAAUCCGUCAUAGUAAUUUAUUUUCAAGCACUUGAGAUUUGAGUGAGGUUGAAGCACUUCGAGUACUUGCUGAGCACUAAUAGUUGGGGGAUUGGUAAAUCCAUAGUUGCUUUCCCAUGACAAGCAUAAUUCAUGAAGGUCUUUUUUACCCAUCAAAUCAGCCGCUUGAGCUUGAGAUAAACUGCCAAAAUCUUUUAAGCCUUCGAUACGCAGUUUUCCACCGAGGUUUAGAUCACGUAACUCUGACAAGCUAUUCCCUUUCUCUAAACUAACAAUGUACACACUUAAUGUUUUUAGACUAGUUAAUUUUCCAAUGUUAGGAAACAUUCGAGACAAAGAUAUACAAUAUUCAAUAACUAUAUGUCUAAGAUUUUGUAAGAAAGCCAAGCGUUUUGGGAGACAAAUCAGUUCACCACAAUGUUUUAUUUUCAAGGUUUCCAGUUUUUGUAAGUUGUAAAUUGAGUCAGGCAACUCUUGUAUGUCAAGAUAAAGAAGCUCCAAAUACCUUAAAUGAAUUAAACUACCUAGUAAUGGCCCCCGGAUAAAGGUUGUGCAUAAAACCCGAAGAGAAGGGUCUGUUGGGAAGUAAUCCUGUUCUUCUUUUGGAAAAGUAGAAAACUCAAACCAUGUUCGCAAGGAUUCAACUUUUCUGAAGGCACCCUCAUCGAAUGAUAACAAAUUAUCAGAGUUAAAACUUAUGUGGUGUGUGCUUUUUGACAAACUAGUCAUGUUUGCAUUCUCCAAAUAUAUACAUUCUUGCCCCAUUACUGACUUAGCGAGAUCAUGGACAAGAUCAUGCAUCUUGAAUGAAAUGUUGCCAGAAAAUUCAUCCAUUUUUUUGUCUUGAAAGAAUGAUUUUUGGUACAAUUCAUCCCAAACCAUGAUGCCAACAUCUUCAACCUCCGUAUUACCCCAAGAUGAAAUCAAUCCAUUAGCCAUCCAAAGCUGAAUCAAUUCUUCUUUCAAGAUUUCCCUAUCCUUGGGAAAUAUAGCACAAAAAGAGAAACAUUGCUUUAGGGUCGGUGUUAAAUAAAAGUAACUCAACCUCAAAGAACGCAAAAUAUAAUUUUCUUCUGGUAAAGCCCAAAGCUCAGUGUCUUUAAUAUCAAGCCAUUCCUUUUCUCCAUUCCUUGAGCUCAUCAAACCUCCCAAUGCUUUUGCUGCAAGAGGCAAUCCAUUACAUUUCUUUACUAUCUCCUUUCCUAUUGCUACAAGUUCUGCACGCUCUUCUCUAUAAUGUCCCAAUGCAUAUUCUUUGAACAACAACCAACAUUCACUAUCAGAGAGACCAGACAAAGAGUGAGCUUGGCAUGUUCCCAUGAUUGUUGCAACAACUUUAUCACGGGUGGACACUAAAAUGGAACUACCUUUUGAUCCACACGACAAAACAGAUUUCAAACGAUUCCAUCUAUCUUGUGUUAACCCAGAUUCCAAUUGUUCAUUUUGAUUCCACACAUCAUCCAAAAUCAGCAAAUAUAUUCUCCCUUGCAACAAUUCUUGCACCUUUCUUUGUAUUACAUCUGAAUCCAAGGCAUCACAUAUCUCUCCUGUAAUAUAUUCUAUAAUAGAACACAAAAUCCUCUUGACAGAGAAAGUCUCGGAAACACAAACCCAAGAUCUUAUGUCAAAAUAGUCCCUCACCCUAACAUCAUUGUAGACCAAUUGAACAAGAGUUGUUUUACCAAUACCACCUAAACCAACAAUGGGGUAGACGGAAAGGAAGUCAGAGUCCCUCGCAUGGGUGAGAAGAAACUCAAAAAUCUUUUCUUUAUCAUCUUUUCGUCCAAACACUUCUGGUUUAGCAAUAAUGGAGUUGAUUUGACGCCAUUCAUCUACUUCAUCUGAGCUUUCCCUAACAUAUACAGUACCAUCUCGUAGAAGAAAUUUGUUCUUAAUAUCAGCAAUAUCAUCCAAUCUUCUUGUAAUCUCUUUCAACCUGUUGCCGAUCUGACGGCGAAACACGAUGUUCUUUGGGUUGAAAGAGAAUGAGCCUCCAAGUCGAGCAGACUCGAUCGAACACUCAUCAAGGAUAUCAUCGAGCACAUAAACAGCAUCUUUGAGUUGUUGGAGCCAUACCUUAAUAUAGCUGUCUUUGACUUGUCUCUUCUCAGCAUCUACAAGAACAGCCUCGAUGUGAUUUAAGGAGGUUGAUAGGUUUUUGGCCUUUGACUUGAUUCCAGAAAUGGUAGAAAAUUCACUUUGUAGGAGAGAAUUCACUUUCUCAAACGCAGCUCUAAGUAAAGCUUCGGCCAUUUUUUUAGAAAAGAAAGAGUUGAAAAGUUAUAAGGAAAUGAGAAACUGGUUUAGACAGAAAGAGUGCUAAGGAGACGCAAGUAGGUGUUCAAUAAUUGAUGCAACUUGCAGAGUCCAUUACAUUGUAUUUUAUUGGAUUAACGGUGUUUUAUCUAGAUCAUUUUUGGAUUUAUCUCUUAUAAAAUAUUUUUUUGGUUUAAUUGCACUUUUCCUCUCUAUAGUUUGCCAAUUGUACAAUUUUGCAUCCCAUAGUUUUAAACUAGCGAUUUUGCCCCCUAUAAUUUUCCCCUUUAUGAUUUUAUGGUCCCCAUGAUAUUUAGUGUUGGUUUUUUUUUUAUCAAUUAAUGUGUGUCACGUGUGUAAUUCCAUUUUUUUAAAAAUAAAAAAAAUGGUAUUUUUUAGAUUUUGAGAAGGGGGCACGUGAUUUUUCAGAUUUUAAGAAAAAAUAUCACGUGCCUCCUUCUCUCAAAAUCGAUGGAAAGAGUUUGAUUGAACUACUAUAACGAGUGGUCGACAUAACAAUGAAAUACCUUUACUUUAUAACCCUCUAAAAAAAAUUUAAUUGAUAGUACUUUAUGUAACACUCCGUUUUCUAAACAUAAACAAAUUCAUAAAAAUAAUCAGAGUUUUUCACAUAAACGGAAUGCUACACUUCUUUUCUUAAAAAUCAUAAACGAAAUAAUUAACUAAUAAAUAUCAACAUAUAACAUAACAAAAUAUCACUCAUCAAAAUAAAUCGACUAAAUUAUAAAAAGUCAUUUAAACUCAAUAAAAUAAAUAAAUAAUAAAAUAGAGUGUUACAACUCUACCUUCUUAAAAGAAUUUCGUCUUUGAAAUUUAAAGCACAAGAGAAAAAUGAAUUUAAUUAUUGCUUAAAUAUCUUAAACUUUGUAUAACAAAAAUAGAAACUUCAACAAUACACAAAAUUCACAUUAAAGUUAAUCAGUCAAACAUGAUCACAUAAUAAAACAUCACCAUUAAUUAGAAAAAUACAACGACAAACGACUCAACUACUUGGCCGGUCGGACCGACCUGCUCUGAUACCAAUUGUAACACUCUGUUUUCCCAACAUAAAAAAAUUCAUAAAAAUAAUCAGAGUUUUCCACAUAAACGAAAUGCUACAAUUCUUUUCUUAAAAAUCAUAAACGGAAUAAUUAACUAAUAAAUAUCAACAUAUAACAUAACAAAAUAUCACUCAUCAAAAUAAAUCGACUAAAUUAUAAAAAGACAUCUAAACUCAAUAAAUUAAAUAAAUAAUAAAAUAGGGCGUUACACUUUAUACUACUCUUCAGUACUUGUCGCUUUUAGAGAAUAAUUUUAUUUCAUUUUACUUGUCACUUUUAAGUUUCAAUACAAAAUUAAUUAUUGGUUUGUCAAUAAUACCCUUAUCCAUUUAUUGAAGAAAGAAAAAUAAUAAAAUGAAAUAACAAAUGAUUAAGAGUAUUAUAGAAAAAAAAACACAGAAUUUCAUCAAAAAUAACAAAAUUUAUUUGGUUUCUUGGUAUGUGUAAAUUUCUCAAAAGAGAUAAGUAUUGUGAAAUGGAGAGAAUAAUAACUUUGUUUUACAUUUUAUUUAUAAGAAAUGCAUGUCUUUAAUUGUUUCGAAGUUUAAAAUGAAAAUAUUAUUUUAAAAUAAAAAAUAAUUGUUUGUUCAUGCAAACAUUGAAAUAAUAAGAAAUAAUUAUUUUCUACCUAAAACUCUAACAUUAAACAAAUUUAAAUUGAAUAAGGACUAAUAUUGAAUGUAUAAAUUUUUUAUAGGGUCUAAAAAAACUAUUAUAAUUAAGUAAGAACUAAACUGAAAAGGUCGCAAUUUUACAGGGACCAAAAACAUAUUUAACCCAAAAAAAUUAUUCACUUUUAGUUUAUAUUUACAUGUUAUAAAGGACUAUUUUGGAGUACUAAAUGUGCCCAUUUUUUGUAAAAAGUUUUUAAAAUAAUGACUAUUCUUACAAACUAUAUGGAAUAGAAGAUUAAAAUUACCUUAAAAUUUUAUAGAAACUAAACUUAAGAAUUUGUGAUUUUGCAGCGACUAAAAAUAUAUAUUUAAUCAUUUGUUUCGUGAGCAUAACUCAGUUGGUAGGACAAUACAUUAUUAUAUACAGGGGCCGGAGUUUGAACCCCGGACACCCCACUUAUUCACCUUAUAAGGUGAAUUCUAACCACUAAGCUACCUGACAAAAAAAUAAAAAAGAUUUAAUCAUUUAAUUUCAUACUUGCUCAAGUUCUCUCUCCAAAAAAGUCUAAUUUAUUGUACUAAUUUUAGAUAAAAUAAUAUAUAGGAGUUCUCUUGAUUCUUGAAUCCAAAAAUCACCACUGUAUCUCAAUUCUCACAAGCGUAGGUUAGGGUCUGUUUGGUUCGCGGGUUUUGAACGGGAGGGGAGGGGAAGGGAGGGAAUAUUUUAAAAUUUUUGUGAUUAGUUCAAUUUUUAGAAGGGGAUGAGAGGGAGAGGAAGGGGAACAAAAUCCCUCAUAUAAGCUCAUUUAUGGCUCCUCCUCAAAUUGAAGUUUUUUGGAGGGGAGGGGAGAGAAAAAGAGAUGAGUUAAUGCAAUUUUAAUUACAUUAACAUAAUUAUCCUCAUGUUUAUUUUUAAAUGACAAAACCGUCCUUAUUAAAAAUUUAAGUGUUUUCAACAUAUUGCUUAUUACUAUCUUUUUUGUAACAUGUCAAUGUCAAUUUUUUUUUUUUUAACGAGAAUUGCAUAUUCUUGUCUUCUAAUUAUUAUUUUUUACGUGAAUUCACUUUUUUUUUACUAACGAUGCUUUUAUUUUUUUUAUUUGGAUAUAUUUAUUUUGGGUUUGGUUAUGGUGCAUAAGGAUUUUCCUUAUGCACCCUGCAUAAGGAUUGCUAAUAGGGCCCAUUAAUAGUAGCCCAACAAAUUUUCUGCUUCCUACACCCCAAAAACAGAAAACAAGUAAAACUGGCAAAACAAAACAAACUAUUCAUUUCUUCAACAACCACCUCUCUUUCACCUCUCACCGGAAACCGUCGCCGUUAACCAUCGCCGUCGUUCUUCACCACUGUAUCAAUCGCCAUCAUUUCUCAAGGUCGUCGUUCUCCACCACUGUCUUGAUUUCCCCACCAUCGUCGUUCUUACUAUCGUCGUUCUUCACCUUCCACCACCAUCGGAACACGAGGUCCAUCGGAAACAACCUCCACCACCGGAAACACUAGCCGCCGUUCUUCAUCAACACAAGGUCGUCAUUCUUCACCACCGGAGACACCGUCGUUCACUACACCAGCUCUUCACCACCACCGUCGUCGCCGUUCACUUCCAACACCGUCGUUCACUUCCAACGCCUUCGUUCACUACAACAUCUUCAACAAACAGCAAACAUGUCGAAAUCAAAUCAGGUUUGCACUGAACUUCUUUAUUGAUCGUAAAUUUGAUUUUCAACCAAAACCAUUUUUACGUGGAAAUGGUUUCUAUGUGUUGUACACUAAAACCAUUUGGUGCUGGUAAUUUUUUUCUUUGGAUUAAUGACUCAAGUAUAUUAUAAUCAUCUGAUGCUGGUAAUUGAUUUCUUUGAUCCAGGUUAACAAAUCUAACGACGGGGGGCCAAUUCCAAACUUCAGUAUUGGACUUACGCAAUUAGAGCAAGAGCAAGCAUCUGAUGAAGAUAAAGGAAAAAAAAAGGGUAAAAAGAUGGAAAAAAGGGUAAGUCUUCAAUUCUAUUUGCUGUCAUUUUUAGUACGAGCAAUAAUUUCUUCGUUGAUUUUUUAGUACGAGCAAUAAUUUGUUCAUUAUGCUGCAAUGUUGUUCAAUUGAAAGGUAUAUUUCAUUGAUUCUGAAAUAAAUUGUUUUAUCUAUGUUUCUUUGAUGUUUUGAUUUCAUCAAUCUCAAUUUGUUGUUGUAUAGUUCAUGCUAUGUUUUUAAUUGUUGCUGGAUGUAUGCUCUAUGAUUCAUGUUUUGACUCUUCGUGCUUAACACUGAACUGCUAGUGAUAGUUAACCUAUGAUAUGAAGCAUGCACUCGGACACACACAGCGCUGAUACGACACGUCAGACACAAUUUGAGAAAAUUAGACAAUUCAAUGUAAUCACAUGUGUCCUGUCAUCAUUUGAUUUGAUACGCUAUGUAGCACGGACACUUCUAUUUGACGAGGAUUUGGUUUGUCUGAAUAUCCAUAACCAAUAAGAUCAAUAGAGUAUAUGCGGUGGGAUUUUGCUAGGUCUGGAAUAUUUUUCCUCCAGUGAUCACUGCAAUGAAGUGUAUUCUCAAUCACUCAAAAUAACUGCAGAACCAAACAGACCUAGCUAUAAGACCCUUACAAUAAAUAUGUGAUAUAAUAUGUGUCCUGCAUUUUCUAAUUGAAAUGAAAGAACAUGAAUGCAUGUUUCUUAAUCAAAUUUCUAGAUACCUCUAUUCAUGAAAAAAUUCAAGAAUAAAGAUCCCUAUAAUUUCUAAAUCUUUGCCUGAUAAAUUGGUUGAUGGUUUAUGAGGAAGGAGAGGUGAAAGAAGCUAAAAAGUUGUGACUUAUGAUGAUGAAUGGUUUUGUUAUCUGAUGGUUCUGUUGUAUGCUUCAUGUUUAGAAUGGUUCUGUCUGCUGUCAUUUACUCUGAUAUUGAAGACGUAGGCACAAUUGGUCUAUAUCCUCUUAUAUCUCUGUCUGCAUAGUCCACUUCGUCAUAACUUCAAUCUAAUUUUUCUUCGUCUAAUGGUGCUAAGUACUAGCUGAGGCAUAGUCUACUGUGUUGUGUCUUAUAUUUCAACACUGAUAUGAUGGAUAAAUGUAUCUAAUAUGAUAGAAGCAAAUAUCUGAAGACCAUAUGAUGCUGUUAGUUAUUCUAAUUGUUGCUCCUCCCUAUUAGCUCUCUUCCAUAUAUUUGGUUAUGCAAUAUAAGGUCUUUAUUCCAAGUUCAAAAAACAAGAAAAUGUGAGUGAGUAAUCACUUUUGAGAAAAGGAAUUCUUCACUGAACUCCAUCUACAAUUCACAAAUCACAAGAUACAUAAGUUUAGAAAAUUUAUGUGAGCCUAACUGAUAGGAAUAGGAUCACACAUAACAAAUUCAUGCACUGCUUGGACUUGCACAAUGUUGAAUGUUGGAAAUAACAUAUGAAUGGUGGAAUGGUAGUUCUGGGUGAGCAUCAAGUCUCACGAGAGGCUUCAAUCCAAGAGGAAAAAAAACUGAAUUGAAUUUGUCUUGAACUCUCUCUGCAUUUGUGUGUGUCUGCAUCGUCUUAUAUCUCUCUCUGGCCCACUUGAAUUUUUCUUAACUACAAAGUUUCAAUUGUUUCGUUGAACACUGAGAUGAUAAAUACAUGUGUUUGAUAAGAUAGAAGAAAAAAUCUAAUACUGAGAUGAUAAAGACCGUUGGUUAUUGGUAGUUAUUCUAAAUUUCUAAUAGUGACAUCUCUAUGUUAGCAAUAGUUUUAAUUCAAAAUACAAGAAAACAUGAGAGGAAACUUACAAGAGGAAUGUCUGAAGGUCUGUUCUUUAGAAACUUAGACAAAAUAUGUGAGUGUUCAUUAAACUAUAUAUCUAUAAUUUGCAAGAUCACAAUGUAAUCUGUUUCCUCUUAUGGUUCUGGACAUAACCCUUGAUUCUAAGGUGAACCACAUUAAUUAACUCUAAUUGAGUUCUUAUGUGUUUUGUUUUUUCACAGAAGUUCCAACCAUUGUACUCCAAAACCAUUAGAUGUAUUUAAUGGUUUUCUUUGCUCAUGCAGGUGAAAAAAACUAAAGAGCUAGAGCCAUUGCCAUCAUUUAGUAUUGGACUAACUCAAAUAGAAGAGGAGGGCAGGAAUGAAGAGGCUAAAAGUUCAGAUAUGGAAAAUGAGGAAAAUGCAAAGCAAAGACUGAGGCAUAAGAUGAGUAUACCUAAGGUAUAUGAUCUUAUGAAUUCAGUAAAUGGCAAACAAAGAAAGGAUGAGAUCAUUAACGUAUUGAAUGAAAGUGGCUUUGGGGGAAUGGUUCAUUUCUGAAUCUGUGUUAAUGCUUCAAAAGAUGUUUAUGAAUUUCGAUGAAUUUGCUCAAAAUUAGGUGUAUGGAAUACUGAAACCAUAAGUAUGGUAUAAUGGUUUUGAUAGUGUACUAGGUAAAACCAUACUUAUGGUGUAAUGGUUUUGAUCAAAAUUAUUAUAGGUACGUGGUUCUAAUGGUUUUCUAAAUAAAAACAAAUGUGAUAAACAGUUAUUUUAGGCCCAAGAAUGUUGAAUUUAAUUAAAAUUUGCUCAAAAUUAGGAGUAUGGAAUACUGAAACCAUAAGUAUGGUAUAAUGGUUUUGAUAGUGUACUAGGUAAAACCAUACUUAUGGUGUAAUGGUUUUGAUCAAAAAUUAUUAUUGGUACAUGGUUCUAAUGGUUUUCUAAAUAAAAACAAAUGUGAUAAACAGUUAUUUUAGGCCCAAAAAUGUUGAAUUUAAUUAAAAUUUGCUCAAAAUUAGGUGUAUGGAAUACUGAAACCAUAAGUAUGGUAUAAUGGUUUUGAUAGUGUACUAGGUAAAACCAUACUUAUGGUGUAAUGGUUUUGAUCAAAAAUUAUUAUUGGUACAUGGUUCUAAUGGUUUUCUAAAUAAAAACAAAUGUGCUAAACAGUUAUUUUAGGCCCAAGAAUGUUGAAUUUAAUUAAAAUUUGCUCAAAAUUAGGUGUAUGGAAUACUGAAACCAUAAGUAUGCUAUAAUGGUUUUGAUAGUGUACUAGGUAAAACCAUACUUAUGGUGUAAUGGUUUUGAUCAAAAAUUAUUAUUGGUACAUGGUUCUAAUGGUUUUCUAAAUAAAAACAAAUGUGAUAAACAGUUAUUUUAGGCCCAAGAAUGUUGAAUUUAAUUAAAAUUUGCUCAAAAUUAGGUGUAUGGAAUACUGAAAUCAUAAGUAUGGUAUAAUGGUUUUGAUAGUGUACUAGGUAAAACCAUACUUAUGGUGUAAUGGUUUUGAUCAAAAUUAUUAUAGGUACGUGGUUCUAAUGGUUUUCUAAAUAAAAACAAAUGUGAUAAACAGUUAUUUUAGGCCCAAGAAUGUUGAAUUUAAUUAAAAUUUGCUCAAAAUUAGGUGUAUGGAAUACUGAAACCAUAAGUAUGGUAUAAUGGUUUUGAUAGUGUACUAGGUAAAACCAUACUUAUUGUGUAAUGGUUUUGAUCAAAAUUAUUAUAGGUACGUGGUUCUAAUAGUUUUCUAAAUAAAAACAAAUGUGAUAAACAGUUAUUUUAGCCCAAGAAUGUUGAAUUUAAUUAAAAUUUGCUCAAAAUUAGGAGUAUGGAAUACUGAAACCAUAAGUAUGGUAUAAUGGUUUUGAUAGUGUACUAGGUAAAACCAUACUUAUGGUGUAAUGGUUUUGAUCAAAAAUUAUUAUUGGUACAUGGUUCUAAUGGUCUCAGAUAACACAAAUGCUCUGGUUUAUGUAAUGGAUGACAGUGAGCCACAUCCCAUCUAUAAAUCUUAUACACAUUCAAAACUUCAUCCAGCUUCAAAUAUAUUCCAGCUUUACAACCGACCCUUUCCUCAGGUUUUUCUUUCACUUUCACAAACUCAAUAACCAGUGGACUGUCUGAUGUUGGCCUGUUGUUAGGAUUAAGCAAACUUCCCUUCUUGUAACCUUGUUUGUUACAAACAUAACGCAAAUAAUGUAUCUUUUCUGAUUUCUUAUUUUGUGAAUUAUUCUUCGACUUCAACAUAGUCCUAAUAGAAAAUCCAGUGUUAUAUGCAUAAUUACCAUAAAAAUCUUCAACCUCUUUGAUAGAUUGAAAGACUAAAGACUUCCAUGAUUCUUCAUUGCUAGGGGAGUAACAUUCAGUAUGAAUCAUUGAAGAAGUUUCAACACUCAGUUGUCCACUCUCAGCAUGAAUCAGUGAUGAAGCUUCAACACUCAGUUGUCCACUCUCAGAUGAAGUUGAUAUCAAAUCCAUUGAAAACAGCAACAAACACUAUUAAGAACAAACAACCAUUAGCACAUUAAGCAUUUUUCAUUCAAUAUACAAAACGAUUAACACAUCAAUGCAUGUAAAUUUGCAGAUUAAGCAUUCAAGAUCAGAAAAGUAGACAAGGACUGAAAAAACUACAAACAAUAACACAUCAAUGCUCUUAUUUUUCAAUCUAAUAUUCCUAAAAGUUUCGCAUAAAUCUUUGCUUGACUUGAAUAAUGAGUUAUUCACUCUUGUUUAUCAUCGGCUUAAAUUCGAUUGUAUAGCUAUAAAUUCCAUUUUUCAUGGUUACAAACCAGGAAUAAAAGGACUCCUCUUUUCACUGCAUAUCAUAUUAGGUUCUAGAAGUGACAGUUUUUUGUGAUUGACAGUUUUAUGUGAUACAUUGAUUUUCAUAAGUUGUAAAUUUUAGGUAUCAUACAACUUUCAAUAAGUGUCCUGGAGUUUGUGACACAAGAGUUUUAUGUCUGAAACUAUAUAGAAAAAUAAACUUGUUUGGUUCUGACUAGGUUUGGAUAUUGUUUUUACAGAAAUCAAUUGUAGCAAAUAUAAGUUAUUACAUGAUACAAUAGUCCUCAAAUAUAGUAAAAUGUUAAUGUCUGACACUAUAUAGCAAAUAAACUUGUUUGGUUCUGAUUCUUAAUGCAUCUAAUUUUAGUCUCUUAAUGACACUUCACAUCAAAAUUGUAAGACUCUGAACAAUAAUUUUGUAAAUCAUGUUCAAUGACACUUCACAAGAAAAACUUUAUCUGCUGUUUCAUAUCCUUUACUGAUGGUUUCAGGUUGAGAAAGAAUUCUAUGUUGAGGAAUUAGUGUUUCCUUAUAAGCAAAAUCAUAAAUUCAACACAGAAAUAGAGAAUACAAACAAACAAUAAAUCUUUGCCUGAAAAAACUACAAACAAUAACACAUCAAUGCUCUUAUUUUUGAGGAAUUAGUGUUUCCUUAUAAGCAAAAUCAUAAAUCCAACACAGAAACAGGGAAUACAAACAAACAAUAAAUCUUUGCCUGAAAAAACUACAAACAAUAACACAUCAAUGCUCUUAUUUUUGAGGAAUUAGUGUUUCCUUAUAAGCCAAAUCAUAAAUUCAACACAGAAACAGGGAAUACAAUCUAUUGAAUUUAUUAAGAAAUUCAAUAAAUUCAAUCACAGGAACAGGGAAUGGUUCAUAAAUCACCAAAAAUGCAGGAACAGGGAAUGGUUCAUAAAUCACCAAAAAUGCGAAAUUGAAAACCGAUCAAACACAGAAAAACAUCACAAACGCAAAACCUGAAGGUUAAUCGGAGUUGAGCGAGCGGCGAGCGGCAGAGAAUGAGCGGUGAGCGGCGGUAGAGAAGCACUUAUGAGAUGAGCGGCGGCAAGCGGGAGGGUUGCAACAACAAUGAAUAGGCGAGCGGCGAGCGGCGGUAGAGAUUGAGAGGCGACGGCGGCAGAGAAGCGGCGAGCAGCGAUCGGCGAGGUGAGAAGAGGAAAAUGAUAGUAUGAGAUGUGAAGGAGAGUGUGAGCUGAGAUUAUUACACGUGUAAAACCAAUCUGAAGGUUGAAAAGAGCUUAUGCAGGGUGCAUAAGGGAAACCCUUAUGCACCAUAACUUAUACCAUUUAUUUUAUAGUUUUUGAUUGUAUUAUAUAUUAAAACAUAAUUAAUAAAAUUUGUAGAAGAUUUUUUUAUAAAUAUAUUUUAAAAAUAAUUUCUAACAAUAAAUUUUUUAUAAAUAUUUUUAUAUUGUACUAGAUUAUUUUAGAAGUGCUCUAAUAUUUAUGGAUAUCUAAUAUUUUGUUAGAACUUUUGUGUUUGAUUAUUUAUGGAGUUUUUGGUUACCGAGUUUUCAUGUUUAAAUUUUUAUGAACGGAAUAAUAUAAAAAUCAUGAUAUUGUUUUAAGGCUAGAGGGAUAAAAAAGUAAUUUGGUUUUAAAAUCCAUCCCAUUCCCUUAUGAAUCAAACAUAUAUUUAAUUAAAAUCUCUUCCUUCCCCCUUCCCUCCCAUCAUUUGAACCAAACAUAUAUUUAAUUGAUAUAUCUCCCCUUCCCCCCUCCCUUUCCCUCCCUUCCAUUAAAACCCCUCCCCUUCCCUCUGUUGAACCAAACGGACCCUAAAGAAUUAUAGACUGGUACGUUGUGAGUAGUGCACAAACGUGAAAAAGGAUUGAUGUGUGCUUUUGAAGACCGCUAGGGUUUUACGGCACCGCUUGCGAUUGCACUUGCCCUUAAUUCCAUCAAUUUUGAAUUGAAGUUCGGUUGGUGUUUUAAUCCAAUCGGUUACCAUCCAAUUGGUGUUAAACCUUUAUCAUCAUCAAUUUGUUUUAGCAAUUGUGGGGCUGGUGGUUCAAAGGUAUCACGUAGAAGUUUUUGAGUUACUAGCUUUCAACGAAGUCCUUUACAACAAGUUAACAAGUUGCUGCAAUUGAUAAUUGUAUGUCACAUUUUGGCUCUGUUUGGUAAACAUAACGGAUAACUAUAAGUUCGUUGAUAGCUUAUAGCUGAUAGCUUUUAGCUGAUAGCUUUUAGCUGAUAAAUGUAAAAUGACAUAAAGGGUAUUCUUAAUUCAUAAUAAAAAUUAUAUCAUUAAUUUAAGUAUUUGUAAUUUUGUAAACUAAUUUUUCUUUCAAAAAAUACUUUAAAUUUAUUAAUUUAAUAUAUCCUAUGUAUUAUAAAUUAAAUUAAAUUUUAUUCACUAAAAUUUUAUCUUAUAUUUAUUAUCAUUUAAGUGUUUCCACUUUAUAAAGAAAAUAACAUUUACCUCAAAAAAAAAAAAAAAAAAGGUAGCACUAAUAGAGUAAUACUAAUAACAGAGAAUAAAGAAAAUAACACUUACCUCAAAAAAAAAAAAAAGUAACACUAAUAGAAUAAUAGUAUUUUGUUUCGUAAAAAAAAAAACGAAGGUAUAUAUUUUUUCAAAAAAAAAAAGAAAGAAAAAGGCCAGCUGCUAUAUAUACAAAAAUUGGAAUAAAGGGAUAGUAGUCUUUAUUACGUAGCUUAUUAUAAAAAUUAUAAUGGAUAAAAAUACAAUUUAAAUGAAAUAAUAAGGGUAAAAUUGGAAGAAAAAGUGAGAAGAUAUAAGCUAUAAGCUCAAACGCUACUUGGAAUAGCUUCUGAAAAAUAGCUUAUAAGCUCGUGAAAUAAGCUAUAAACUCAUGGUGAAAAAGUGUUACCAAACAGAGCUUUUUUUGUCAAACGAGCUUAUAAGCUAUAAGCUAAAAGCUAAAAGCUUUUUUUUUGGGUUUCCCAAACAGACCCUUUGGAACCAAGGAAUCACGACAGGUUUGAAUUACGACUGCCCUAGCUCCGGUGUGGCUUUGCCAGCCUCAGCCAUGUUUGACUGACUGGCAGGCAGAGCUAGCGCCUCCAACCCUCAACUUUGGAACCAAGGAAUCACGACAGCUUUCAACAGUGCUCGCACCCACACCUGUUAAGUCUAUUGUCGCUCCUACGGUUCAGAUGACAUCAGUUGCACCUAAGCCCUCGUUUGAUCAGGUCCUACGUGGUAAUACGAUACUGUCUGACCCUCUCCCGGUGCCUUCCAUUCGUGGUGAAAUAUUAUCUGUCAAAAUCACGGAUGAUGUCUAUUUUUGUGAACUAGAUGCUUGCAAAACCAACCUUCGAGGUCGGUUGCUUCUGAACAAAGGAGAUAAGCCUUACUCCUCCAAAGAUCUUGCUGACAAAUUACAGAAGUUGUGGAAAGUGAAGGAGCCAUGAAAUUUGACGUCCCUUGGACAGGGUUAUUAUGAAAUUUUCUUUAAUUCACAAGAGGACAUGCGAACCGUUUGGGUAGACGGUAGUAUUAGCUUGAAGCCAGGCUUACUCGGAUUAUUUGAAUGGACAAAAGACUUCAACAUGCACACGCAACGACAAACUCACACUCAGGUUUGGAUUCGGUUAUGGGAAUUACCACAGGAGUACUGGAUGGAGAGAACCUUAUAUGAGAUCACAGGGGCGGUGGGAACUUCGUUACUCAUUGAUAAUGUGACUAGAAAUAAACUUUAUGGUCAUUAUGCCGCAUUUUGGUUGACAUGGAUCUUUGGAAAGAUAUUUUUAAGGUUCUGUUUGGUUAGAGACGCUUCCAGCUAAGUUGCAUAUUUCUUUCGAGACAGAAUUGGUCUACCCAAUAUAGAUUUCUUUUGUUCUGUUUUUUUUUCUUUUUUUUCCGAGAGUUUUGGCCUAGUCUCCCUUCUUUCUUGUACAUACUUUUUUCCUUUUUUUUUAAUUUUAUUUUAUUGAAUUUAGAGUUUGGCAAAAAUAGGACCGAGGCUUUCCGGGGUGCCAACUUAGUUACGAUGUCGGUGUUGUCUCCUGAUGUCUGACUUUCUCCUGCUGAGCAAAGAAAAAAAAAAGUGCACAAACGUGGAAUGGAAUAAUAAGCAUUACUACAAUUAAAUGUUAAUAUUAAUUUUAAAGGUUAAAUAUGUUUUGGUCCCUGUAAAUAUAUCAAAUUUUUCUUUUAGUCAUUCUAAAAAAUUUCAUUGAUUUUUAAUUUUUUUAAAAUUUUCAAACACCACUUUUGAUUCAUAUUUUUAUGUCAAUUCAUGUAAUUUUUAAUGAAAUUGUGCAGAAAUGUGUAGAAUAUUGUAAACAUUUAUUCGAAAACAUAUUUGAUUUUUUAGAUGUUCAUAUAACAUCACUAAAUUUUAAAGAACCCUAUUUGCAGAGACUAAACACAUUUAUAUUAUUAAGGUGUUGUUAAUUAAGGAGUGCCCCCGAACACUCUUUUAGGAUCACAAGUUUGGAAAAUAUUCUUUCAAAAAAUCAAAUAUUACAAAUUUUAAUACAUUAAUAACAUACAUUUUUAUAAAAAGUUACUACUAUUAAAAGAUCUUAAAAGAAUACUCUUGGAGCAUUGAUCUUAUCAUUUCCCUUAUUUGGAGUAAAGCUCUUAAAACAAAUAAAUUAUUUGGAGUAAAAUUGACUUGGGUCAAUAUGGAUUGAUUAUUAUAUUGCAAUAGACUUGCGUGACUAUCUGUAUUUUGCAUUUUCGAUAAGGAAAGUGUUGACUGAAUGAAAUCAAUACUCCAAAUAUGAACCAUCAAUGGAUAUACGACGUGUUCAUAAAUUUCAGAGGGGACGACAGUCGUAAUAGCUUGGUUUCUCAUCUGUACGCUGCUCUCUCAAACGCGCGAAUCAACACAUUUCUUGACGAUGAGAAGCUUCACAAGGGAUCGGAGCUGCAACCACAACUAUUGAGAGCAAUACAAGGGUCUCAGAUCUGUUUAGUUGUUUUCUCGGAGAAUUACAGUAGAUCUAGUUGGUGUCUUCUUGAACUUGAAAAAAUCAUGGAAAACCGUGGUACUCAUGGUCAAAUAGUUAUACCAAUAUUUUACCAUAUUGAUCCAGCCAUUGUUCGUCGUCAGUUAGGUAAUUUUGGAAAAGCUUUAGAAAUUACAGCUAAAAAAAUGCAAUCAAAAAGGGAGAAGCAAAAACUGUUGUUGCAGACGUGGAAGUCUGCUCUUAGCCAAGCUACAAAUUUAUCUGGCUGGGAUGUCACCUCUUCCAGGUAAAUCAUUUUCUUCUUCUUUUUUUUUUUUAAUAAUUUUAUUUUUUAGAAUCAGAAUGAAUUAAUGUUUUUAAGUUUUUUUUCUUUCACUAUAUUCAUAUUAUAAUUACUGUGUGGUGUGUAAAAAAAAGAAAGAAGCUAGUAUGUGUUAACAAAUGUUUCUGACAAACCAUUUUUUAUAAUAUACGUCAUUUUGGUCACUAUUAUAAAAUUAUAAUACUGAGUUAGCAGAAACAAUGCAUUUUUAUAUGCAGAAAAUGUAAGGAUUAUUCUUCAAUGCAUUGUUUUUAGUCCCAGUUAUUUAUUAAAAUGUAAUGAUUAUUCUUCAAAGUCACACAAAAUUUAGGGAUCAAAAACAUAUUUAACUCUAAAAUAAUUGGGACCCACUAACUAUCACAUCAGCAUUCCGUUGGAGAAUUAACAGCUGAGCCUAAUUUUGAUAACGGAGACAAAAUGUGAGGAUUUUAAAAACAUUAAUGAAAUGUAGGGACUAUUCUUCGAAGGAGCGUAAAAUGUAAGGACUAAAACCAUAUUUAACCCUAAUAUUUACUAGAUCCAAUAGCUUUUCAAAUAAUCUAAUUUUUUUUUUCUUCUUAUAAUAAUAACCGAAUUGUGUAACAUUCUUAUAAACACAUUUAUUUUUUGAAGGAUAUAAACACAUUUAUUUAAAAGUAUAAUUCAAAGUAUAAAAAAGUCGGUCCAAAAUUCCUAUAACUUUAUAUGUUGUUAACUGAUGAUAAUAAUAAUAAUAAUAUUCAUUGAAUUUGAAGGAAUGAAAGUGAACUGGUGCAAAAAAUUGUUGAGGAGGUAUUGGCAAAGCUAGACAACACAUUCAUGCCUCUUCCUGAGCACACGGUUGGACUAGAGUCCCGUGUUGAGAAAAUGGUUCCAUGGAUUGAAAAUAAUUCAACAAAGGUUUGUAUGAUAGGCAUAUGGGGAAUGGGAGGGUUGGGUAAAACUACGGCAGCCAAAGCCAUCUACAAUCAAAUUCAUCGCAAAUUUGUGUACAGAAGUUUCAUCGAAAAUAUUAGAGAAACUUGUGAAAGGGAUAGCAAAGGCGGAUGGCAUAUUUGUUUACAACAACAACUUCUUUCAGAUCUUCUCAAAACAAAGGAGAAGAUACACAACAUUGCCUCUGGGACAAUUGCAAUCAAGAAAAUGCUCUCUGCAAAAAAGGUGCUCAUUGUACUUGAUGAUGUGACCAAAGUAGAGCAGGUAAAAGCCCUAUAUGAAAGUCGUAAGUGGUUUGGUGCAGGAAGUGUAUUAAUUGUUACAAGCAGGGAUGCACACAUACUUAAGUCACUUCAAGUUGACCAUGUCUAUCCAGUUAACGAGAUGGAUCAAAAGGAGUCCCUCGAGCUUUUCAGCUGGCAUGCGUUUAGACAGGCAAGUCCAAGAGCAGACUUCAGUGAGCUCUCAAGUAGUGUAAUUAAGUACUGUGGAGGACUACCCUUGGCUGCUGAAGUCAUCGGAUCUUAUUUAUAUGGCAGGACAAGAGAAGAAUGGACAAGUGUGCUAUCAAAACUAGAGAUAAUUCCUGACCAUCAUGUGCAAGAGAAACUAAGAAUAAGCUACGAUGGUCUAAGUGAUGGUAAGCAAAAGGAUAUAUUUCUUGACAUAUGUUGUUUCUUUAUCGGCAAGGACAGAGCUUAUGUUACUGAGAUUCUAAAUGGCUGUGGACUUUUUGCUAGUAUUGGAAUAUCUGUCCUCAUAGAGCGGAGCCUCUUAAAAGUUGAAAAGAAUAACAAGCUUGGAAUGCAUGAUUUAAUAAGAGACAUGGGAAGAGAAAUUGUUCGUCAAAAUUCAGAAAAAGAUGUUCGCCAAAUUUCAGAAAAAGAUCCAGGGGAGCGUAGUCGGUUGUGGUUUCAGAAAGAUGUACAUGAUGUUUUGACAAAUAAUACUGUAAGAACUUUCUCCAUAUACAAUUUGAAACUUUUGAAUAUCCUCUGUAAUCUUAUGAAAAUUAUAAAGUUCUCUUUGUUAAUGAACUGAUUUGCUCUUCAUAACUAUUUGCUGAAAAAUCUUCAUGUUUGUUACAAGUGUGCUUGGGCCACAGCCCACAUCUGCCGUUUUGUUGCCACUGUUCUAGCAAGUAAACGAAAAACAUUUCCCCUUACUUUUCUUAGUUUUUUCUCUUCACACACAGGGAACAAAAACUGUUGAGGGUUUGGUUUUAAACUUGGAAACAACAAGCAGAGCUAGCUUUAAUACUAGUGCUUUUCAGGAGAUGAAGAAACUGAGACUUUUACAACUUGAUUGUGUUGACCUCACUGGAGAUUUUGGGUUUCUUUCCAAACAACUGAGAUGGGUCAAUUGGCGACAAUCUACCUUCAACCAUGUUCCCAACAACUUUUAUCAAGGAAAUCUAGUUGUUUUUGAAUUAAAAUAUAGCAUGGUUAAACAAGUUUGGAAGGAGACCCCGGUAUAAUAACAUUUUCUUUAAAAUUCAAAUGCUCAUGACAAUAGAAUCUGUUGCCACUCUUUCAUUUCUGAUUUUCAUCUCUAAUUUUUCUUUUAAAUGAUUAUUUUCUUGCAGUUUCUGGACAAGCUAAAAAUUCUCAACCUCAGUCAUUCCAAGUACUUGAAAAACACCCCUAACUUUUCAUUAUUACCGAGUCUAGAAAAGCUCAUUAUGAAGGAUUGUCCAAGUUUGUCCGAGGUACACCCGUCCAUUGGAGAUCUCAAUAAUCUUCUUCUGAUAAAUUUUAAGGAUUGUACAAGUCUUGGCAAUCUACCAAGAGAGAUAUCUCAAUUGAUGUCUGUGACAACUCUCAUACUUGAUGGUUGUUCAAACAUUACUGAAUUGGAAGAAGAUGUAGUGCAAAUGAAAUCCUUGAAAACUCUAAUGGCAGCAAGAACUGGUAUAGAAAAAGCACCUUUUUCCAUAGUUAGUUCGAAAAGCAUUGUUUAUAUAUCCCUGUGUGGAUUUGAAGGAUUUGCACGUGAUGUUUUUCCUUGUCUCAUACGGUCUUGGAUGUCACCAACAAUAAAUUCCUUACCACAUAUCCCUCACAUGUCCUUGGGUGUAGAGAGUAAUGAUUUGCGUUUGGGCAAUCAAUCAUCAACGCUUAGAAGCUGUUCAACACCUAGAAGUGUUUGGGUACAAUGCUGCUCCGAUAUUCAAUUAACUGAAGAAUUAAAAAGAUUACUUAAUGAUCUAAACAGUGUGGAUUUUACUGAAUCAGAAACUUCACAUGCAUUACAAAUCUCAGAUCUAUCAUUGAAAUCUUUUGUUAUUACUCUUGGCAAGAGCUUAUCACAGGUUCCUUCUCUAUCCUUUUAGUCUCACAUGUACUGAUAUCUAUUGUUAAUUAAGAGAACACGAUGAUAUUUUCUGUUUGCAUUUUUUUCUUUAAAUGGUUAAAGUUUCUUGAAGAUACAAAUUUAUUCAGUCAGACGUGUACCAUUGAAGUGAAAUAAUUUUUUAGAUAAUUACACCCUCUUAUUUUUUACUAUACGUGUCAUAUUUUUUAUAAUCAAUCUGGUUUUAUGUCUGGGAUGUUUACCAUUGAAGCAAUCUACUUACUGCAAAAUGUAAUGGAGUGAUAUCGGAUGGAUAAGACUUCCACUUAGUUUUCAUUAAUUUGGAGAAGACAUAGAUAGAGUGCCUAGAGAGAUUUUGUGGAAAACUCUCGACAAGAAAGGGGUUAAGACUGCCUACUUUUGAGCUAUCAAGGAUAUGUGUGGGAGGUUCUCGACUAGUGUGAGGACACAGAGUGGGGUCACAAGAUUUUCCCAUAACAAUAGGACUGCACCAAGGGUCCAUUCCAAGUCCUUAUCCUUUUUACUUUGGUUUUGGGCUUACUUAGGGAGAGGAAAAAGAAAAAUUAUAAGAGAUAGUAUUAAAAACAACAAUUAUUUUUAUGCAAUAAACAAAGCAAAUGAGUUCAAGCACGGUAUAGCUGCUAGGAAAGAAAGGCGUAAUAGAAAAUUAUUCAUAGAGAUAACAAAACCCUCAUCUACUAGAAAAGUUGAGGUUCCUUCCCUUUUCUAAGUCCUAGAUGACAAAACUCUCAACUGAAAUUUAGUGAUAUCAUUAUUAUCUUACAGAUGGAAAUUACCAAAACUUUUAAGUUGAGAUAUUAACUAGCAUAUGGAAAGUGAAAAGAAGUAUAAGAAAAGGUUAAUUAUAACAUGAGAAAAUGGUCAUUGGCCAAUUACAAGUUAAAAUCUGUGUAUGGCAUAUCAGUAUUUCAAGGGUUCUGCAGCUAUUAUAAAAGCAUUCUGCUAUUGAUGUGAGUGUUACAAAACUAUUGCCUCAUUGCUUUAAAUCAGUUUCUGUGUAUAUUUUUAUUUUUAUUUUUCUGUGUAAUGCACUAUUUUUACACUAUAAAUGGCACAAAAAUGUCUAUUAGCAUGAAAUAAUUACACAACUAACUCAACAUAUGUUCAUGAUACAGGGAUUAACAACCACAACCACUGGUUCCAAUGAUUGUUUUGUUCUGGUUAACAAUUAUCCUUCUGGGUUAUCUUAUACAUGUACAGGACCUUCAGUCCGAUUUCGAGUGCCUGAGGAUAGUGAUUGUCACAUGAAGGGAAUUACUUUAUGUGUUGUUUAUUCAUCAACAUUUGAAAACAUGGAAACUGAAUGCCUCGUUGGUGUUUUGAUUAUUAAUUAUACAAAAUUCACUAUCAAUUUAUACAAGCGAGACACAGUAAUGUCCUUUAACGAUGAAGAUUGGCAGGGUGUAAAAUCAAAUUUAGGAGCUGGUGACAAUAUGGAGAUUUUUGUAGCUUUAGGGAAUGGUAUGACUGUUAAAGAAACAGGUGUCCAUCUUGUACAUGGCCAAUCAAGUACUAUGGAAGUUGAGUCGUCGUCAAUGACCAUGGAAGUUGAGCAAUCUAUUAUGGUAAAAAUGGAGCCAUUGCCCGAAGUGGAAGUGCAAACGCAGCCUAAUGUGAAAAUAGAUCCAUCACCUGAAGAGGAAGUACAAUCAUCCCUUGAUGUGAAAAAUGAGGCAUCACUUAUUAUCCAGAAUGAACCAUCACUGGAGCCAUCGCUUACUGUCCAGGACGAGUCAUCACCGAAGCCAAAUGAAAACAUCUUUGCAAAACUUGGAAAGAGAGUUGGUAAAUGUGUAUGCUUGAAACUAUAGAAUAGGGAUCUCAGAAAUUUAUGAUUGCCCAAUUGGGCACACUUUGUCCUAAUAUCGAAAUACCUUCCUAAAUAUUAUCAUCUUAACGACUUUACCUGUAUGUUUUUGUAGGAUACUCAUCUAGUUUUGAACUGCAUUAACUACUUAUUUAUAUAUUACCCAUUUAUCAUGUAAAUGUAAACAAUAAAUAUCAUGACAUCCUCUAAAAAAAAAACAAUUGGAUAGAAAGAUAAACUAAUGAUCUAUCCUGAAGAGGAAACUUAAGAAAAUCGACAUCAUUUGUUUUUAAUACCAUUUCACCAACAUGUGGCACAAUUGGAAAAACAUAUUAGGAGAUGUGAACUCAACUCUUUAAAUGCAUCUCAAUUAUUUUUAUAUAUUAGUUUUCACAGUUAUGUGGGGAUAAACUGGUUUAUCAAAAAAUUAAUACCACUUCUAUUUUUUAAUGCUUUUAAUUUAGUCACUAAAUUUAGGCAGAGAAGACAAUAAAUUAAUGAGAAAUGAUAUUUGUACAUCCAUUUUAUGAUAAUUUUUGUACAAUCUUCUCUCUCAUACUUACAUUAUCUUUUUGGGAGGGAGCUUGGACUAUGCUAAUGUCAGUUUUUAUAUUAGUAGUAUGUGAAACUUCCAUCGUAUUGUUUGAUUCAAUUUAUGUGGUUCUGAAAAUGUUGUUAAGAAAUUCUCAUGCGUGGUAUCCUGCUUUAUGAUUUAAAAAUUUAAAAAAACCAAAAAUCAGUGUCAGAUUUCGAAAAAGUUACUCCCUUCACCCAAGUUAACCCUCCAAGGUCAAUGGGGAAGGCGACGGUGCAGGGAAGGAAUUAGUGAAUAAAAUUGUUAGGUCAUGUAUUGUUUUCGAUCAAAUCGCAAAAACAAAACAUCAACUUUGGCCUGAAGCAUUGAACCCGCUUCCUGAAAUUUAUUUCAGAUUAGACGACUAUCCAUCAAAUUGUUUAGUCCAAAAGCUCUUGAACCGAUCUAUCACCUUGCAUCUAAAAGAGAUUGCAAUCCAAAAAAAUAAAAUUGUAAUAAUAAAAAAUGAGAUUAAAAUAAUCUUUUUGAUAAUUGAAUGUGUGAGGUGAUGUCAUUAUAGAAUUUGAAUGCAUGAAUAUCACAAAAACAUCUCAAAGUGCUUUUUGUUAGUAAUUUUAUGGAUGAAAUUGACUAAUGAAAAACAUUUUCAAGAACCAAGCAAAAAAGAAAGACUUUUGAAGACCAAACUCAAUAAAAAAAAUAUGUAUUUCAAUAAUUUUUAUUAUUUCGAUACAUUUUUUUAUUUGAAUCAGCAACAUUUAUUAGGCUCGGCUAGCACAAGAUGCACUUAACCGGCGAAGGAGGAAAAAGAGUACAAAUAGGCACUACAAAACAGACCGCAGCGCACUACCAAAGACAAACUUGAUAAAAAAAAACCCCUAAGAGCCCAAUUCCAACCAAAGGAGGACUCAAACAACAGCAUAAAAACAACAAGAACGAAAUACAAGUGGAACGCUUAAACAACAAAAAACGCAGGCUGCCAAACACACACAACCACCAACAACAGAAAACAGCUCCCAAAAAAACCAGUCAACAAAAGCUAUCUCACAAGGCACGCCAAAGGGUUCCAACACCAUUCGUAGAAAAGGAAAAGCAGCGCUUUUUAAACGACUUAGACACCACCGCCACGACAAAACUUUAAUAUCAUCCACCAACUCCAUCACCCCCGUCUCCUUAGCAUUGAAAAUUUUAUCAUUCCUUGCCUUUCAUAUCACCUAAAUAGUCGCAUGCCAAAUGAGUCUAAGUCCUCGAAUGAUCUUCUUGUUCGACGAAACCGCAUUCCAACACGCCCAAUGGAUGAACAAGUUUUGAGGAAUGAUGAACAUAAAACCCACCCAAUGGAGAAGUUCUAACCAAACACCUCUCGCAACCUCACAAUGCAUAAAAAGAUGAUUCGUGCUUUCGUUAUCCCUUCCACACAAAACACAACUCAAAUUAAUAUCUGGAGAAAGGGCGUUCCUUCUACGAAGGUUGACACGGGUAGGGAUACGGUCUAACAACAUCUUCCACGAAAGAGCCUGAUAGUACUCAAAAGUAAUAUAUUUCAUGUGUUAAUUUAGGCAUUUUAGUGACUUGUUUUGCAAGUUAUCUAAGGAAAAACUACCAUUUAUCGUAAUUUUGCCAUUUAUGCUUUACAUGUCUUACUCUACUCAAUUUGUGCAGGAAAUGACAAGCAAGGACCAAGAAACCACUUUAUGAGCCAAGCCAAACUCGCUUAAGCGAGAAAGUUCCAGAGAGCAGCCAUCCAUCUCGCUUCUGAGCCGUGGUUUUAUUUCCGAUGCGUUGUUUGGUGAGAACUAUUUAACUCUCGCCCUUGACGAGCUUGUUUGUAUCUUUUCUAUGAUUUAUCUGAAACAUAAUGAUACUUCCACACUUCCAAAGUAACCAACAAAAUAAAUAAUGAAGUUUUAAUCAUAUCCAAUCAUUUUCAAUGGGAAUUAUCUAUUCUUUGUCUUAGCUUACCCAUAAUUUCUACUCUUCUUCAUAUUCUCUUUUAUUUUACUAAAUUCAAAAUCUUUUAAUCCUUUUCUUCUUUCUAUUAGAUUGGAACUAAGUCUUCUACUCUAUGAUACUACUUCUCUUAGAUCAAAAUUCGCUACAUCCCUAUUUAGAUUUGAACUAGCUGGCCCAUUUCAUUCUUUUCUGUUAUACUCCUUCUCUUAACUUGGAAAAAAGCAUCGCCUGCUAUCCUACUUUCUACUUCUCUUCAUGCUCCUAUUAGAAAUUUGAACUAAGUCAUGCAUAUUUUAUUCAUUCUCCUUCUACCGUUCAUCCAUCCCAUGAAGUGUAAAAUGUAGUUGCUGACAUUAUAGGCUAUAGAGAAAUAAUAAGAGCUCACUUAUAUAAAUGAGUUGCACAUAACCACAUAUUAUGUGUAUAUGCACCAAAUAAUAGUUGGAAAAUAGAUAAUAUCGAUUAAAUUGUAUAACCAAAUUUUGUCUCAAAAUAUGAACUCUUAAGUUGUUAUUAAUUACUUUUCAAAUGCCGCAAAUGUAUAAUAAUUUUGACACAUAAAAUCGGAAAGACAGAACCUGAGCGUUAAUUCUCUCUUUUGAAUGAAGUGUUAUGUUACAUAGAAUUAUAGAGUUCUGGUGUCGCCGACUGUGAUCCAGAAGUAUGUCAUUAAUGCACUGCCUGACGCCAACCUUGAUCCUGCAUAAGAUACGCAAAGUCUAGCUUGCAAUUAUUAGCACAACCAUCUCUCAAGAACACCUCUGGAACUAUAAUACAAAUGUGAUAUUCACUAUAGACAAAGCGAAAACAGUAGAAUAUUUAAAUUGAAUGGAAGUUAGUGUCACAGAAAAAGCUUCUACUUGCUGCCAGAGAAGAAACAAAUUUGCAGUAGAGAUAUAUAGUGGAUUUCUAAAUUCUUCUAACUAGUAACUUUAUCCAUAAGAGCAACAUUGUUAAUUUUGACCAUGGGGUAUCGUGAUUUAUAGUCUUGUAAAUCCAACAUCAUUCAAUGAUAUAAUUUGUAAAUUUAUUCGAACUGAAAGACAUGUAUAAAAGGCUAACUUGUGUAGUAAUGAUUUAAAUCAUUGAUGGUGUGACUGUCAUCAACUAACGAAUUUGGUUAAACACGCAUUAAUAUCGAUAAUAUAUAACCUGGAGGAUGUUGUUCUGGUUGCGCGGCGCUUCAUGUGUUUUGAGCGUUAAUCUGAGUUCCUGUAUUUUAGAAAUUGAUAUAUUUUCCUAGCAUUCAAAAGUUGUUAGAUAAUAUAGAUAAUAUCAUCUAUAAACAAGGAAGUCGUUUACACAAUACAGAGGUUGUUUUAGUUUAUCAUUUAAAACUGAAGUGUAUCUAAAAUUGUGCAAAUUUGAUCAAGGACUUGUGGAACUGAUUUAGCUCUAGAUCGAUAGCGACGAGACUGACAUGAAAGCGUUUUACAGGAAAUUCGUUACACCAAGGGUUUUAAUAAAUCAAUCAAACAAUUUCAAAAUUAUGCAAAACAACAGUAGACAGUAGCAAAACUGACAGUUUGCUAUGAGAAGGCUCUCAAGGUUAGUAUUUACAGUCAUAAGCGGGUUGGAUAAACCCUAUAUUCUAGGCAUUUAGUUACUUUGAUAAGAAUAACUAUCAGGGGUUCUAGCUGCUUUUAGAAUGUGCUCAUUCGUGAUGCCUGUAAAGGUGCCACCUUUGCUUGCUUCGAGCCUUUAGAAGGGUGCUUAUGAUCAUCUGAGUCCUUAUGAAGGACAUUGUGUCCUUUAUCCGGGUUUUCCCAGUCCAUUAUGAAAUUAAAGAAAGAAAAAAGGCUUCAAUCAGUCCUUUUCCCAGUCCUUUAUCCUCCUUUGCUUGCUUCGACCCUUUAGAAGGGUGCUUAUGUCACCAGGUACUCAUUUUUUUUGUAUUCCAAAUAUUAAAUUUGUCAUAUAAAAUCUUAUGCUUGGUUUCAUUUCAUGUAUCAGAAUUUAAAGAGGACAUUCUUGUGCAAAUGUGCUGACUCUAGCAUACCAAAGUCUUGGAGUAGUUUAUGGUGACCUAAGUACUUCUCCUCUUUAUGUAUACAAGACCUCAUUCUCAGGGAAAUUGAGCCUUAAAGAAGAUGAUGAAGAAAUUUUUGGGGUGCUUUCAUUUAUCUUUUGGAUAUUUACUAUUAUUGCUCUCUUCAAAUAUGUUUUCAUUGUCAUGUCUGCUGAUGAUGAUGGAGAAGGUACAGUCUUCAAUCAUUGAUGUUGCUUAAGUCUGUCUUCUCAAUUAUAAGAUAUCAUUUUGGAAUAAAUAAAAGGACUAAUAUUGUCUCUCUUAAUUAUAUAUUAGGAUAAAUAGUUAAAUCUUUGUUAGAAUCAAUUGCAGGAGGCACCUUUGCAUUAUACUCACUUCUUUGCAGACAUGCAAGACUAAGCAUUUUGCCUAAUCAGCAACCAACAGAUGAGAAUUUAUCUGCUUAUUCCACAGAAGAUUCUGCCGAUACAUGGCAAUCUUCUCUUUUGAAGCUGUUCUUUGAAAAGCAUCCUAGAUUCCAGAAAGGACUGUUAAUAUUUGUUCUGUUGGGAACUUGCAUGACGAUUGGUGAUGGUGUGAUUACUCCUGCAAUAUCAGGUAGUUUGAUCGGGAGCAGCCCCUCUCAGCUUCUAUUAUUAUGUUUACUUGAUACUUCCUGUACGCUUUGACCUUAAUAUCAGUUCCAGAUUACUUGUUGAACAAGUAUACAGGAGUUUGGUCUUAUAAAAAACAGAAUUGUUUAAAUAUGUGUUUUGUCCCUGUAAAUAGAGCGAAUUUCGGUUUUAGUCCCUAUAAAUACCUUAUUGUUUUCUUUUCAUCCUUACAAAAUCAUGUAUUUGUUUUUUGUCCGUAGUGUCAACUUUCUGUUUAAAAUAACUAACGUGGAAAAUACAAGUAAAUGACAUCCGUUCCAUGUAGAAUAAUUAUGCCACGUGUCAACACCACCACAUCGGGUGAUAGUGAGACAUCAACACUAAUGAACACGUCAUUAAAAACGAGGAGAUAGACAUGGCAUAUCAGCUCCAUGUGUCCGUGCUGAUGUUCAUGCCAGUCGUAGCUCACUAUCAUCCAAUGUGGUUUUGACAUGUGGCAUUGUCAUCCUACGUGGAAAUGAUGGUGUGUACCUUUGUUUACACCAUUAGCUUUUUUAAACCGAAAGUUUAUGCCAGGGACCAAAAAUGAAAACAUUUGAUUUUGCAAGGACUAACCGUAAUAUUUUAAACCAAAAAGAAUUAUGCUAUCCAUCAUUAGCAAUGUCACAGAUACACACAUGCAUUCCUUAAAUUGUAGCUUUAGUUGAUUACUAAUUUCUAGAAUUCAUUAUUUCUCACUAAUGUGAUUAGACAAAAGCACAUUUCACAAUAAAUAAUUGCACUGUUUACCGAAAAUAUACUGUUUCAAGAGUUGAUCCUUAUACAAAGUUCUGUACCAGUUUGUCCGUUUCGGUCUAUGACCAUCCUUUUCGUGUCUCAUUUCAGUAUUUUCAGCAGUUUUAGGAGUUCAAGUUAAGAUCAACCAACUACAUGACAGUAAGCCAACCAAACUUCUAUCAUUACCAUUAUGUCUAUUCAAUGCAUAAUUUUAAAACUCUACCUUAUGUAUUGCGCAGAUUAUGUUGUUAUAGUCUCAUGUAUCAUUUUAGUUGGCCUUUUCUCCAUUCAGCAUCAUGGAACACAUAGAGUUGCCUUCAUGUUUGCCCCAGUUGUUGCAGCAUGGCUUUUGUGCAUCAGUGGUAUUGGUAUAUACAAUAUAUUCCGAUGGAACCGACAAGUAUAUCGUGCACUUUCUCCAGUCUAUAUGUUCAGGUUUCUCAAAACAACUGGCAUUGAAGGAUGGUUGUCAUUAAGUGGAGUGGUGCUUUAGAUAACAGGUAACUAUAAGUUAGUCAAUUUUAUUAUAGUUGUCUAGCUUGUGUUAUUUGAACAACCAAAUUCAGACAAUUUUCGCAAUAACUUUUUAAGUGGUUAACACAGUUCAUGUAAGUGGCUAAUUGCGUUCAGUAGGUGCUUAAUGGACCAUAAGUGAAAACUCAUUGACCAUCAAUUUAACUUCAUCCCAAACUUGUGGUUGAUGAAUUUAUGUUGGUGGUUAAUAAGUUUGGACACCUGAUAUAUCUAUUAAUCAUCUACUAAACAUAAUUAAUCACCUAUUUGAACUAAGUUGAACACUUAAAAAGUCACGAAAAUUGUCUAAAUUUGGUUGUACAACAAAUCAUUUCUCGAUCAGCUACUGUCUUAGGUGUGGAGACAAUGUACGCUGACAUGGGUCAUUUUUCUGCACUCUCAAUAAAGGUAAAUUAAAAGUAUGCAAUAAUUAACAAUGUUGAUCCAAGUAUAUUAGUCUAGCAUACAAAAAUGAAAUCUGAUUUAACAGUUACACGUAAAUCUCAGAUAGCUUUCACAUGUUUAGUAUAUCCCUGCCUGAUUUUGGCAUAUAUGGGUGAGGCUGCAUUUCUCUCUAAGCACCAUUAUGACAUUGAGAGAAGUUUCUACAAAGCCAUACCAGGCAAGAAUUCACUUUAAUAAACAACAAAUAUAUCGAUAUUAUUUAUGAUAACUCUAGGGUAACAGUGCUACUAUUUUUCUGCAGAAGCUGUAUUUUGGCCAGUUUUUAUAGUGGCCACUUUUGAUGCUGUUGUAGGAAGUCAAGCAGUGAUUUCUGCAACUUUUUCCAUCAUAAGCCAAUGUUGUGCUUUAAAUUGUUUUCGAGUCAAGAUUGUUCAUACUUCUAGCAAAAUAUAUGGACAGAUAUAUGUUCCAGAAGUCAAUUGGAUAUUAAUGUGCCUUUGUUUAGCUGUUACAAUUGGCCUUUGGGAUCCAAACAUGAUGGGUCAUGCAUAUGGUAUGAUAUCCUUUUCCAUUGUGUUUAGAUUAAACAAUCAUUUUUAUCCUAAAAUGUGUGAGGUGCUGUCACAUUAGUCUCUAACGUAUCCAAUUAUAAAAAUAAAAUGAAAAACUGCAUAAAUGCGUCUUUCAGUAGUCCGUUUCUUUAUCAAAUGUAUCUUUCAUUAAUUAGUUUAGUUCUCAAAUGUGUCUUCUUGUAGUCAAUUUGGUCCAUAAAAUUACGAACAAAAGACAUGUUUGGGACAUUUUUGUAAUUCGGAUACAAUCAUUACUAUAGUGAUUACGCCUCACACAUUUAGGGAAAAUGACAGUUUAUUCUUAUGUUUACUCAUUAUGAUAUAUGAAGUAUGGAAAACUAAAUUUAAACUACUUUUCUUGGUUUGCAGGGUUGGCUAUCACCACUGUUAUGUUUGUGACAACAUGUUUGAUGACACUAGUAAUUAUAAUGGUUUGGAAACAAGGGAUAAUAAAAGCACUUACAUGUUUCCUAUUGUUUGGAUCUAUUGAACUUCUUUACAUCUCAGCUUCUGUCUGCAAAGUCGCUGAAGGAGGAUGGAUCCCAAUUUUGCUCUCUUUCAUUUUUAUGGCCAUAAUGUUCACAUGGAAUUAUGGAACAAUGAAGAAACACCAAUUUGAUGUUGAAAACAAGGUCUCCAUGAGCAAGAUGGUCCGUGUCCCGGGAAUCGGUCUCAUUUUCAGUAAUCUUGCUUCCGGUAUCCCGGCUAUUUUCGGUCAUUUUAUUACAAAUUUACCAGCAUCCCAUCAGGUUUUAGUUUUCGUAUGUGCUAAAUCAGUCCAAGUCCCUUAUGUCAGUGAAAAUGAAAGAUUAGUCAUCAGCAGGAUUGGUCCGAAGGAAUUCUACAUGUUUCGGUGCAUUGUUCGAUACGGAUACAAUGACAUGCAACAAGAGAAUUACAAUUUUGAAAUUAAAUUGGUAUCUGCAAUAAUACAAUUUAUAGAAAUAGAAGACAGUGUUCCAGAACAAACAAAUGAAUUGACUAUAGAUGAUGGGAGAAACUUAAAUAUGGAAGAUCUUGGUCAGUCACAACACACCUUGAAAUUGAAUUGGUCACAUUCUGAAAAGAAUUGUUUACCAUUUUCAUGCGAUGGCCAACAAGUUCAAGACGAGUCCUAUAAAUUUGAGUCAUUUCAGAUUUUAAGAGCCAAAGAAUUAGGUGUUACUUAUAUAGUUGGGUAUUCCUAUGCAGAGGCAAAAAAAUCAUCUACCAUUUUAAAGAAAUUUGGAAUAGAUGUUGUUUAUGCUUUUCUAAGCAAAAAUUGCAGAGAACCUGAUAUUAUGUUGGAAGUAGCUCAUACUUCUUUGCCAGAAGUUGGUAUGGUUUACCAUGUAUAACUCUAACCUUAUACUGAGGUAUUUGCAUAGAAGAGAAUAGAUAUAGUUUGUAAAUGUUGGUCAUAAACAUUAACAAUGACUUCUAGUAUCUAAGAAUGUAUCAAAAAAUGUUGAUCAUUAGGUUGUAGGUUUUUCAUCAUUGAUCUCUAAAGAGUCUUUGAUUCUGUAUCUAAGAAUGUAAUUCAAAAAGUAGAAUAUAUAUACUUGUACUUUUGUUGAAAUGUAGCUACUGAGAUAUGACACAAUCAUUAAAAUACUUCAUUUAUAUUUACUGAGAUGUUAUUUCCUUUAUUUUCUUCUAUGUAAAUGUAAAUAUUCUCUAUUUUCAUGUAUAUAUUUAUGAUGUAAUUAGAUUGUAAGGUUAUUCUCAAGUUAACCCUUUCAUGAAAAUUUCAUCUGAUCUUGUUGUAUAAAAAUUGUAUUUAUAGUGAACUUAAUGUUCCCUUACUAAUGGCUAACAUAACCAGCACCUGACAUUAUAGAAACUAUAGUUCAGAAUUAGCAAAAAAGGUAAUUAAUACGAUGAUGUUUGAAAAAGAAAAUCAAUUGUCAUUUAAAAAACUUGCCUGCACUCCCAAAGUAGCCAUCAACUAUAUUAUUUGGAAUAUUGCAGUGAUUUGAAUAUACAUGGUCUUAAUAUACAAAUGAUUCUAUAUUAUUCGGCAUACUGUAUUGGAAUCAAUGUUGGUCAAAAGUUUCUUCUUCUUCAGUCUAAUUAAUAUAUAAUUUAGGAAUGUGUUCUAUCUUGUCCCAGUCCUCUCCUAUUCCCUCCUUACAUCGCUCCGUUACAGCUGGGCAACCAUAAAUUGCCAGAACCUCAAGUGAUGUGAGGUGCAGAAUACCUUCUGGCAAGCAUCUCAAUCUUUCACAGAAAGCAAUCUCCAUGGUUCGAAGGGAUCGUAGAGUAGACCUUCAAAAAGUUGUUCCGGUAAUGAAUCAAGCUCACAACAGUGAUGGAUACCAAGAUGCUCCAAAGCUAGGUUGAAGGCUUCACUUGGCAAUGCAUUCACUUAAUUUGGGAAAUCAGAUAUUUCCAAAGUUCGAAGACAGGUCAGGUUUUUCAACAUCCCUUUUGGAAAAUAUGUCACAUCUUCACGUCUAUUAAUCUCAAGGGUAGUUAGGCCGUAGAAACUAGAGAUUGACUCCAGUAACUCAUUGUUACAUCCAUCUACAAUGAGUUCUUUAAAAGAUGAAAGGCAUGGCAACCCAAGUUUAAGGCAACCAACAAUGGCCAACUUAGAAAGGUGGGGAAAAAUCUCCCAUUUCCACUUUCAACAACCGUUCCAAGUUAGGUAAAUUACCUAAAAGCAGAUCCUCCAGAGAUGGGAAACCCCUGACCUCCACACCAUCGCUUGAUUCUUCAUCAUUCACAUACUGCACAUUAUCCAUAUACCAUAAUUGGAGUUUUCUGAGAGAUGGUAAUUUAGCAAGUGAUGGAAGCCAAACACAGUUUCUGCAAUAAGAAAGUGUAAGAACAGCUAAAGUACUUUGAAUUUGGAUCCAACAUGGGAGGUGCAAUCCGUCAUAGCCAUGUAUUUUCAAAAUCUUAAGAUUUGAGUGAGAUUGAAGCACUUCAAGUACUUCCUCGGUGCUAGUAGCAGGUGUCUUGGCUUUACACCUGAUGUUCCAUGAGAAGCAUAUUUCCUGAAGUUCUUUUUUAUCUUGCAAAUUUGCUUCUCGAGCUUCAGACAAACUUCCAACAUUUUCUAGACAUGUAAUGCUUAGUUUUCCUCCUAGCUUUAGAUCAUGUAAUUCUGCCAAGCUGUAUCCAAUCUCUAAACUGGAUCCUGAAUCCUGCCCAAUCUAGAGCCCCCAAUGUUUAGAACUUUCUCACCAAUUUUUUCCCUCCCCUUUGUACAUAACCAGGAAAAUUAUAUUUAAUUAGCCAAGUCAUGUUCAUUUUGCCUUCCACAAUUCAUUUGUGUGUGUGAUUUCGCAAGAUUUGAAAGUGUUUUCUUCCUGAAUUUUGGUUAUUCUUUUCGUAAGUCUUCCUGAAUUUUGUUAAUUUCAUGAUUAUGAUGAUCGUUAUAUGGCAAAUAAGACUUCUGAUGUUACUAGUCGCAAAGCUUUAUACUUCAUAAACUUCACCAUAUCCAUGGUGGAAUCAGAGAAAAUGCAGAAGCUUAAGGAAGAAAAAAGAGAUAAAAUCUCUAGAUUCAUUCAACUGAGAUGAGUUUGUUACAACAUAGCUAUAUAUAGCUGAAUUUAAUCCUAACUAACUGUAACUAACUAUUAGCUAGGAUUAGAAUCAUAGAGAGCUAGUACAUAGUAAAGUUUUAGGGAAUUGCAAGAUAACUUGCUGCGCAAGCUAUCUGUUAGUAGAAAUAAUCACACAGUUUAAUAAUAGUCAUGAUGAUAGAUUGCUUCCUGAUUUUUAUUUCUGAUCUGAGAACUAUCCAUCAAUAUUUUUAGCUCCAGCCGGGGAACAAAUCUAUCACCUUGUCUUCGAAAGAGGUUGAAUUCCAAAAACUACUGGUUUGUUUUUCUUCUGCACAAUUGGAUUUUGAUUUAAAUAUAAACUUCAGAAAACAAAGAUCUCAAGCUAACUGUACUAUUGUGAAAAAUAAACAUCAAAUGGAAAAAUAAGGCUCUAAGAAAAAUUCUUCAGACUGCUCCCUCUCCCCAUGCAAUUACAACUCAGCAGAAGUAUGUAAAGGUUGUGGGGCUGAAGUGUCACUAUUUACAUAAUUUCAUUACCUUUUUUCUUGAUUGAUUUAAAUAUUACAACACAUGACUGAGAUUAUUUAAGUUAGCGUAGCUCUCAAGAUGAGAAAAACCAAAUAAAUUGUGCAUAACCAUGUAUUCUUUGGUGGUUUGAUUGUAAUAAUUUGGACAAGAGGCUAAAGAGCAUUAGUAACAUCUUUGUCUGGUUACAUUUCUGUUGACAAGUCAAUUUUAUAAAUGACAAAAAAAUCUUGUAGUCACUGAUUUUAGCUUCCACAAGGCAAUAAUUUGAUCAAGUGUGAAUUCAAAAAAGUAUUUGUCCCUUUUAAAUAAAUAAUGUAUGUGCAUUGUUUGGAACAACCAAGGCACAAAAUGUAUGAUUAUAAGCUCACCAACAAAAAAACUACACUAGAGGAAUAGGAAAAAGAUUAAUACAAAGAAUCCCUUAUGUCAGCGACAUUAGUACUAGUAGAUAUUGUAAAAUCAGCAACAUCUGUUGUUAGUUGGAAUUAAGUUCGGCUCAUGUGUUGGAUCCUCUCCUUUCAUGCCAACCAUAUCAAUUUUAUAUUCCCUUUUCUCAUUAUUUGAUGGACUAAUAGCUUGUUUACUUCCUUCUUUCGAGAUUAAUUUUUCAGGCCAAAAUACAUUCAGUCCCUUGCCUGUAUGUAUGACCAAAAUACACUCAAUUCCUUUAUAAAAUCUUACCAUACAUCUACAAUAUACUAUUUUUUUUCUUUGCUAUAAGGAUGGAAUUUUAAAUAUGUUUGGUGAAAAAAAAAAUCUGUGAAGGUAAUUAGCAUUAAAAAGUCCUGAAAACCAACUCCAACCACAAGGAGGUGGAGAGAGUAUUACUUUGUUGAAGCAUGCAAUAAAAAGAAAGCCGACUAAAGUUUCGAUAUGUAUGUUAAAAUAAAUCAGUUUGACGAGGCAGAAAAUUCAUGUUAAAGUAUUCACGAAUAUAUGAACUAUGCCUUACCUUGAAAUUAACCAUAACCAGCAAAGAGCUAUCAGUUAAAGGAAAUUGAAAUCUUCAGCAGCAAACUUCAUUCCUAAUAUUGCUUAACAACGUCGCCAAUUCUGGCUAUUGGUGUUUCCCCUGAUCGAACAUGAAACUCCGACUCUUUCAUAAAUGUAUUAUUAUACAUGAAACGGCUAUUUCAUAAAUGAAGGACCAUCACCUGCAUAUUUUCAUGGAUAUAUGUAUUUAAAUUGAAAUAAAGUAAUGUAUGUUAAAAUUAAUACUAUAGGAAUUGAAGAUCUAUACCAUAUCAAUACCAGCAUUAACGAAAGUGGAGACGCGAUAACGAUAAUAUGACCAAUAAGGUUGACAUCUUGAUUUCGCUCAGAUAAAAAUCACAAGUUUCACAUAAAUCAAUUCAAGGAUGUCUUCUUCUUCAUUCCAAUAAACAAUUUUUGGAAUAUGUGGUAUCUUGUCACAUUCCUCUCCUGUUCUCUCCUUACACUCCUUUAAUUUUGGGCAACCACGGAUAUUCAUAAACUCAAGUGAAAUGAGGUGUUAAAUACCUUCUGGCAAGGAUCUGAAUUCGUCGCAUUCAACAAUAUCCAUAUUUCAAAGAGAAAUAAAUGGCACCUGUUCAGUUUCACAGGAGAUGCUCUCUGUAAGUGAUAUGAAUAAUGCUAAUAUACUAAAAUAUAUGGAGUUAAAAGAUGCAAAAUUCACUUUGUUAUCAAAUAAAACAGUUGAUUUCUUGUUCAUAUCAUCCAAAAUCAUCACCUCUUGCUUUCAGGAGAAGCAGUGGACACAACUUGAUCAAUUAACAUUGUCCAACACAAACAUGGUUGGGAUUCAGCAGCAUUCCACAACAUAUCUGACACAAACAUAAUGAAAUAACAUGAGUGUCUCGACUAGAAAAAAUGAAAUACAAUGACACCAUCCUAACAAAGAGCUGUAUACACACCUGCAGAUUUUCUGUCUUUGGUUGGUAACAUGCCAAGCAUCACAGUGCUCCCUUUGGUAAGCAAGAAUGACAAACACAGGGCCUCAUUUCUCACAAUAUGCAUUGGUUGUGACCUGAAUUUUAACUAAAUCAAAAACUCAAUAAAAAAGACAGAAAUACACAAUAAUAACCCGCUGAGUGCCCAAAAACAUGAGCCUUUUUCCAACCUAAAUGACCCAACAAAGUAAUUGUAUCUUUUGCCAUGAUCUUUGUUCUGCACCCAACAAUCAUUCACCAAUUCACCAAUAUUCAAAACUCAACCUAAUUGUAUCUUUUGCCAUGAGCUUUGUUCUGCACCCAACAAUCAUUCACCAAUAUUCAAAUUUCCAUUUCACUCUUUGUAAAUUAUUCAAAUUAAUGUAGCACCAACACUUCAUAUUGAUGAGAUAUGUUUAGACACUGAUAUGACACCAAGUCGUAUAAUUACAUUCAAAAACUUUCAUUUCUUCAAAUUAUUAUUAAAAUUAAGCAAAGAGGAAUCCAAACAAUAUAUCAUUCAAACAAACAAUAUAAAGCAAAUAAAUAAAAAGACCAAUAAAAAAACUUAAGAAUAAAAAUGGAGAAAACCUUAUCAUCAGACUUUCUAUUGUGCACUGAGCUCCGACCCGAACCAUGCCGUCUUCAUCAUUAGGUACGUUUGUUCCUGUUAAUCCCUUUAUUUGUGGACCCCACCCUUGUGUCAAAGGCAAUCCUAACCAUUCAAUUCAAUCUCCACGAAAUCAGCAAAAUUAAAAAUGAAAUCAAAAAUCAAAAAGGAAAUGAAAAAAAAAAUUAAACUAUGAUGAAGAAAAUUACCUGAAUUAGAAUAUUAGAACAUAUCUUUUGGGGGAUACCUUCAAAAGAACUCAACAGAAAAGCCUGCAAAUCAUCCUAUAAUGAGAAUAUAUAACGAUUUUUGAAUAAAAUUCGAGUCAAUUAAUCACUUAAAAUCCAAACAAAAGAAGGGUGUAUUUUAGGGGGAAAUAGAGAUCCUACCAGUAAAAUAGAUUUUUGCGAUGGUGAUUGAGGCAGAUAAGGGUAAACGUCUCUGCUUCUUAAACAUCAAUCAACUCUAUUCUUGGAAUAUGAGCUAUCUUGUCCCAAUCCUCCCCUGUUCCCUCUUUGCAUCGUUCCUUUAAUGUUGGGCAAUCAAUGAUAGACAGAAGCUCAAGAGAAGUGAGGUGUCGAAUACCCUCCGGCAAGCAUCGCAAUCCUCUACAACCCCAAAUCAGUAGAGCUCGAAGGGAUUGAAGACCUUCCCAGUUUUGCUCUGGUAAGGACUCCAAUUGUGGUAAAAAAGUUACAAACAGGGAUUGAAGAGAAGUAAGGUUUUUGAACAUCUCCUCUGGUAAGGAUGUUAUUCCUUCACCACUAUUUAGGGUAAGCUGAGUAAGACCACGGAAGGUAGAGAUUGACCUCAGUAACUCAUUGUUACGUCCAUCGACACCGAGGUCUUUAAGAGAUGGAAGACAUGGCAGUCCAAGUUUAGGGCAUUUCCAGAUAUCCAAACUAGAAAGACAAGGAAACAUCUCCCCUCUUUCCACUUUCAAUAACCCCUCUAUGUUUGGUAACCCAUGUAAUUCGAGUACCUCCAAAGAUGGGAAAGCCCUCACCUCCAUACCAUCCUCAGAUUCAUCAUCAUCCAAGUAUUUCAGAUUAUUCAUACCAUAUACUCUAAGUUUUUUUAGAGAUGGUAGUUUACCAAAUAACGGAAGCCGCACAAUUUUGUUGCAAUCCCCAAGUUUAAGAGAAAUUAAAUUACUAAGAAUAAUUAUCCAACUUGGUAACGAUAAUCCGUCAUAGCAAUUUAUAUCCAAGCACUUGAGAUUUGAGUGAGGUUGAAGCUCUUCGAGUAAUUGCUCAGAUCUAAUUAUAGAUUCCUGUUGCGAUAUCCACGACAAGCAUAAUUCAUGAAGGUCUUUUUUACCCUUCAAAUUAGCCGCUUCAGCUUCAGAUAAACUACCAACAUUGUUUAAUCCUUUGAUACUCAGUUUUCCACCGAGGUUUAGAUCAUGUAACUCUGUCAAGCUAUUUCCUUUCUCUAAACUAACAAUGUACACACUUAAUGUUCUUAGACAAGUUAAUUUUCCAAUGUUGGGAAACAUUCGAAAUAAAGAUCCACAUCCUUCAAUGACUAUAUGUCUAAGAUUUUGUAAGCAAACCAAGCGUUUUGGGAGACAACUCAGUUCACGACAAUAUUUUAUUUUCAAGAUUUCCAGUUUUUGUAAGUUGUAAAUUGAGUUAGGCAACUUUUUUAUAUCAAGAGAACAAAGUUCCAAAUACCUUAAAUGAAUUAAACUCCAUACUGGGCCUUGUAGAGAGGAUGUGCUUAAAACUCGAAGAGAGCUGUUUAAUGGGAAGUGAUCAUGUUUUUUUGGAAUAUAAUUCUCCAAGUCAAACAAUGUUCGUAAGGAUUCAACUUUUUUGAAGGCACCCUCAUCGAAUGAUAACAAAUUUUCAGAGUUAAAACUUAUGUGGUGUGUGUUUUUUGUCAAAUUAGUCAUGUUUGCAUUCUCCAAAUACAUACAUUCUUUCCCCGUUACUGAUUGAGCGAGAUCAUGGACAAGAUCAUGCAUCUUGAAAGAAAUGUCUCCAAAAUAUUCAUCCAUCUUGCUAUCUUGAAAGAAUGAUUUUUGGUACAAUUCCUUCCAAACCAUUUUUCCAACAUCUUCAACGUCCAAAUUACCCAUAGAUGAAAUAAAUUCAUUAGCCAUCCAAAGUCGAAUCAAUUCUUCUUUUAGGAUUUCUCUAUCCUUGGGAAAUAUAGCACAAAAAGAGAAACAUUGCUUUAGGGUUGGUGUUAAAUAAAAGUAACUCAAUCUCAAAGCGGGCAAAAUAGAAUUUUCUUGUGGUAAAGCCCAAAGCUCACUGUCUUUAAUAUCAAGCCAUUCCUUUUCUUCAUUCCUUGAGCUCAUCAAACCCCCCAAUGCUUUUGCUGCAAGAGGCAAUCCAUUACAUUUCUUUACUAUCUCCUUUCCAAUUUCCACAAACUUUGUAUGCUCUUUGUAACGUCUAAAUGCAUGUUGUUUGAACAACAACCAACAGUCACUAUCAGAGAGACCAGACAAACGGUGAGUUUCCCAUGUUCCCAUGAUUGUUGCAACAUCCUCAUCACGAGUGGACACUAAAAUGGAACUACCUUUUGAUCCACACGACAAAACAGAUUUCAAAUGAUCCCAUCUAUCUUGUGUUAACCCAAAUUCCAAUUGUUCAUUUUGAUUCCACACAUCAUCCAAAAUCAGCAAAUAUAUUUUCCCUUGCAACAAUCCUUGCACCUUUCUUUCCAUUACAUCUAAAUCAAAGUCAGCACACUUCUCUCUUGUGAUAGAUUCUAUAAUAGAACACAAAAUCCUUUUGACCGAGAAAGUCUCAGAAACACAAACCCAAAUUUUUUUAUCAAAAUUGCGACUCACCCUAACAUCAUUGUAGAUCAAUUGAACAAGAGUUGUUUUUCCAAUACCACCUAAACCAACAACGGGAUAGACAGAAAUAAAGUCAGAGUCCUUCGCAAGGGUAAGAAGAAACUGGACAAUCUUUUCUUUAUCAUCGUCUCUUCCUAACACUUUUGUUUCAAGAGGGGUGGAGCUGGUUUGGCGCCCUUCAGCAGCUUGAUCUGGGCUUUCCCUAAGAGUUACACCCGUAUGGAGAGAAAACUUGUUCUUACGUUCAGCAAUACGAUCCAACCUCCCUGUAAUCUCUUUCAACCUGUUACCGAUCUUAUGGCGAAACUUUAAAGAUGUGAAUUUUCUCAGUCGACUAGACUUGAUCGAACACUCAUCAAGGAUGUCAUCGAGCACAUAAACAGCAUCUUUGAGGUCUUGUAGCCAUACCUUAAUGAAGUUGUCUUUGACUUGUCUCUUUUCAGCAUCUUCAAGAACAGCCUUGAUGUCAACUAAGGUGGUUGAUAGGUUUUCAGCCUUUGACUUGAUUCCAGAAAUAGUAGAAAAUUCAUUUUGAAGCAGAGAUAUCAAAUUCUCAAACACAACUCCAAGAAAGGGAUCAGCCAUUUUUUGAGAAAAAAAAGAGUUGAAAAGAUAAGAAAAAUGAGAAAUUGGUUUAGAUUGAAAGAGUAAUGAAGUAAACAGAAUGAAGAACUUUGAAAAUAAAUGCAAUGGUAGUAGAAAGUUAGGUGCUGAAUGGUAGUAGUAAUUUUUAAAAUAAAUGAUUUGGAGGAAGCUUCAAUGUACGUUUACCUCUUAAUAUAAAAAAAUAAUAGAAAAAAUUCACUUCAACAUGCGUAAUCCAUAAACAUAAUACUCCCACCGUCCCAAUUUAAUUGAACCAUUUAUUCAUUUCACACUUAUUAAGAAAAAUAUAUUAACGAAGAAGACAGAAAAAUAGUUUUGAGUGUUUUUGUUAAUUAUUGGUCCAUUAUUCUUUAUCAUAAAUGUAAAGUAGAAUAGAUUAUAUCGGAAGUGAUGAAAGUAAAAUAUUAAUUAGAGUUAUAAUUAAAAAAAAGUAAUUAAUAUUGUAUUUAAAAGUGAAAUGACUCAGUUGUUUUGAGAUACUUUUUAUUGAAAAUAACUCAGUUAUUAUGGAAGAAGAAGUAGAAUUUUACGGUGACAGGAAAAAAAACAAGUACCAAAACCGAAACCAUGUCAGAAGCAAUAAGACAAGCGGUGCCUCGGUGGUAGAUUCAUGAACUUGUAAAUUCUUUAUUCAAGAUGUGACCGACCACUUUAACCAAUAAGAUGUGGCCGAUAGAAUAAUGAUCCCUACACAGCACGAUAGCCAGUUGUUUAUGGGUCCAACUCCAACACUUGUUUUAUUGGUGAAAAAAAUAAGUCUUAUCUAUUAUUCUAAUGUUUAGAUAAAAUAAUAUUCCAUCUAUCCCGUGAGUUUUUUUUUUAAGAAAUCUAUCCCGUAAGUUUGAUUCAGUUAGUAAAGGAUAUUGCGUAUUAUAUGUAAGAAUCGGAGUUCGAAACACCAUACUUUUUCACAUUUAAAAUCUAUUAACUUAACUCUAACCACCAAACUACAUAACAAAAAAAAAACAAUAUUAAAAACCAUCUAACUGUCAAAAUUAUAGUUUCAAUUUAAUCAUUUAAUUCAAAAUUAUACUUCUUAUGAUAUCUAUGUUAAGGAGUGGGUAAACACAUCGUAGGCCCCUAUGUUUAAUAGCAGUUUUGAUGGUUGAUCAAUAAACACAUAAAUAUUGCUCACUUUAUUGAAAAAAGCCGAUCCAGAGUUACGAUCUGAUCGUAUUUUACACACAAAAACAAUUGAUCAGAAGUUACGACACGGUUGGAAGCAAAAUUGAGGAGUCUAUCGAACAACUUUAUGAAUUUUAUAUGGCACACAACAGAAGUGGAAAAAGGCACAUGUAACUUAUAAUUUGGUGUUUUCUUUGUUGGAUUUUCAAUUGGACAACUACGAAACAUGGUCACAAGAAGCAUACCUCAUGUUGCAACCGCAGUAAUGCUUUUUGGCUUUGAGCCAACAAUUGCAUAUGGCAAAUGGAUUUGGAGGAGUCAAUUGGGUUUUGAUGGAAAAGAAAAAGGAAAAAAUGUUUGGAUGAUAUGAAAUUGUAUGCUCUAUAUAAUUGGAUUGAGGUGUGUCAUGUGGACCCUAUAGUUUCUUUACAAUUCUAGAGAUAUUUUUAACAUGCAUUAUUAAUAAAUGUCAUUGCUACUUGCAUGCCCAUCACUUGAGAUUGGAUGGCAAACUUAUCCCUAUAGUAAUAAAAAGAUACACAUAGAUAUAUCUUAUCAUAAAAAUAUAAACUACAAUGACCUAAUGUGUGGUACAUUAACACUUCCUGAAAGUAAAUGUUGUAGUUAUUGUUUAUAUUAAACCUUAUCUAUCAAUUUUGAAAUAAUUAUUUUGUCAGGUGAUAUUGGAGGAAAUUUUGUACCUCUAUUUUUAUUAAGAUCACAAAUUCAUUAUUUUUUUCUUUCUAAUAAAUAGUUUUCUUACCAUCAAAUAAGGAAAAAUGUUUUGUUUGAUCCGUGAAACAUUUUUUUUUUAAAGAACAAUACAUAAUACCAAGAGAUGGAUAAGUACAACACAAACAUCAAGCUAUGUCGUGAGUAAUCAAGUUCUGCUAAUAAUAAAAGUGUCUCCAAUAUUUUUGCCCUACAACAUAAGUACAACACAAACACAAAACUCAUGUAUUGAUACAAAAAUCUGCAUAAUUAUGAAGAAUUGCAGGAGCAACCAAGUUCUUUGCUUAUAAUAAAACGAUAGAAAAAAAUAUCCAAGUUAAACUAACCAUUCAUAUUGACAUUACUAACUAAAACGUUGAAUGAUUCAAUUACAACACCUCUUGGCCCGCCUCGGAUCAGCCAUAACAAUCUCAGCAGCUUUCUCAUUAGCCAUAAUUUUCUUCAACUCUGAAGCAUUCUUCUUAGUCUAAGACAUCAAAUUCCGACUAAGACUUAUCAAAUCCUUCUUCCUCUGAAGCAUUAUUCUCGGUCUAAGACAUCAAAAUUAGUUCAAAUCAGCAAAAAGGUAAUAUAAAUCCAAGUAAAAUAAGAACAGUAAAAAUUCACAGUAACAGAGAAGUUAUAAAAGUAAUUACAAUUCCCAUAUUGUACGCAAGCAUUGUCUCCUCAUACUCCUCCUUGAACUUCUCAAACUUAGCAAUGAAUCGAGCCUUAUCCUAAAAUACACAUAAAUCACAAAAACAUUUAAAAACAAAACACGAACUAAGAUUUAUAUCAAUUUUCUUCAGUGAAACAUAGGUGAAAUUCUCACAGCAUCCUAACCUAUUUCAACCUUUAUAUCCAUUCCAUUCCUUUCCACCAACUUUCCCAACCUAAUUCAAAUUCACCGUAAAUCACGUUAGAAAACUCAAUAACAUUCAAAAUUUCCUAAAAAUCAAAUUCAACAGUUAAACAAUAUUGCUUCACAAAACUCACCACGACAAUGGAUUUGUUGCUUGGAUUCUCUUUUCUUAAACCUCUCUCUGAAUUCAGACCUAAAAAUCACAAAACAAAAAUCAUCAGAAUCAAUGGAACUUCAGCAUGUUGCAAAUCAGACACAAAUUUGUAUGGCUGAUUCCAGUACAGGUUUCACUAUAAGAAUUUGUAUACGAUCACUCUAUCAGACACAAAUCAGAUCGAAAUUAUAACUCAACAUCAACAAAAUCUACACCAGAAUCAAGAUUAUCACCAAUGUUAUAGUGAAAACCUAGAAAAAGACCAGAUGUAAUAAGUUUUAUUCUAAAAAACACCAUUGUUUGUUCAAUAAAACAACAAAAUACAAAAUUCACUUAAUUUAACGUUAAAUCAAAUAAACAUAAAUAAACCCAGAUAUUUAAUUCUAAAAUUCACAAAUUAGCAUACAACAAAUUGAAUACCUGGGAAAAUGGAAUUAGGUCAGCAAAAUCAAUGAAUUUUCAUGGGUUAAAACCAACAAAUCUAGAUGUAGAGGAUUUUGAGAUCUGGAUUUGAUGUGAGAUGAAUAUGUUCAUUCUCAACUCACAGUCUUGUGGUGGUUUACGUAAGGUGGCUGGAGCUAGAGGCAAUGACGAUGAAGAAGAGCAGAGCAUCGACUGAGAGAGGAGAAGAGAAGAGCAGUGACCGGAAGAGAAUGAGAGAGAAGAGUCACGUUUUUUUUUUUUGUUAAGAGGCAUUGAGCGUGUGAAAUAUUUGUCAUUUACAAUGUUAAGAGGCAUUGAGCGUUUUUUUUUUUUUUUUUGCAUUGGAACAUUUGUCAUUUACAAUGUUACUUUUAACUUUACAUGGGAACUGCUUUAUUAUACACACAGUUGCACAACCAUAUAAAUGUGCAUGGAAAAUAUACGCACGUUUACAGCUUUGCCAUUGAAAAUGUGCAUCCGAAAUAUGAAAUGCUUUAAAUGUUCUUCAUGUUUGAAUGGUGUACCGCCCUAGCAUAUAGUGAAGAGAUUUGAAAUUUGAAAAUGGCAUUAAAUGUGAUAUUAUUAGCAAAAGUUUCCCGCUCUAAAUCUAGGUUUAGGGUUUUAGAGGUGUUGUGUGCAUUGUACAUUAGGAUUAGAUAAUACUAGGACUAUUACCCGUGCUAACGUCCGGGACAUUAAAAAUGGAGAAGCUAAAAAAGUUCCGAUAUUAUUCAUUACAUAAAAAAUAAAAUAAAUAAACAUAAAAAGUAUUUAAGAGCAUACAAAAUAUUGGGUCACACAUUUUCGAAUAUCUCCUUAUAAACUACAUUUGAAGUGGUGCUGAUACAAUCCCAUUGUCAUCCGUUAAUAAUUUCUUCAGACCAUCCCUUGAUGUCACACGUGAUACUGCAACAUAUAGCUGCCCAUGUGAGACGACCGACUGUGGAAGAUAGAUGCCAACUUGCUAUAGAUCCAAACAGCUGCAACUGCCAACCCUAUAGAUGCUAGCCAGCAGCUGAAACCAACAACUAAAAUGCCAACAACACCAUGACAGCACCCUGAAACCACCAAAAACCUGCACAACACCACCAGAAAAGCUCCCAAAAUGACAGCAGAACCCGCACAAAAUAAAGGAAUUAAACGUAAGGAAUGUUGAAUAACUAAAUAUACUUCGCAAUCAUAUUUUCAAUUUAUAAACACAGAGCGAAGUGGAAAGCACAAUCAUUAAAGGUCAGCAUCAAUGGACAUAUUGGUGUGUUUGAAAAAAAAAUAAACAUAUGAUUUUAAAGUAUCAAUCAAUUUAUUAACAACAUAAUACAUGAUGGUAAAAUCUAUUUAAAUAUCAUCAAUUCACUUACAAACAAACCAAAAAUGUAAUGGAAUAACAAAGUUAGGGAAAAGUUACAGGAACAACGAUUUAGGAUAUAUAUAGUAGCAUCUUCAACACAUAUGGCUGAUACGAUGCCGCAGACGACAACGGCCAAGGUGAUGUCGGAAUCGAGAGCAUUGGUGAAGGGCGACGACAGGAGAGAGCUGCGGCAACGGAGAGAGCGGCAACGACAGAGAAUUUUGUUUGAAUGUCUGAGAGUGAGGUGGAAGAUGAACAACUCAAAGGGCGAAGAGAUUUUUUUUGAGUAAAAGCAAUCUGAAUUCCAACACAUAAAGAAGGAAUAAUGAGAGUGGAGAGAAGAGAACUUUAAAAUGAAGGAGAAAGAGGUGGACAUCGAUAAGUGUGGAGUCAAUUUGGGAAUUGGAGGAUAAUUAAUGAGUCAAAACUUGGAAAAGUGCAUAGGAAAUAUACAUCAAAUUUGAAAAUUUGACUCAGAUUAGAUCAAAGGAUGAGAUGCAUGCUUAGCCAAAUGAUGAGAUCCAACGGCCUCCCUUGUUUUGGAGCCAAAACCAUUUAGGUUUAGGGUUUGCAAUUUCAUUAGCAAUGUUAACAAAGAUUAGAUAUAAGCAUGACUAGGACUAUUACCCGUGCUAACGCCCGGGACAUUAAAAAUGGAAAAGUUAAAAAUGUUCCGAUAUUAUUCAUUACAUAAAAAAUAAAAUAAAUAAACAUAAAAAGUAUUUAAGGGCAUACAAAAUAUUGGGUCACACAUUUUCGAAUAUCUCCUUAUAAACUACAUUUGAAGUGGUCCUUAUACAAUCCCCAUUGUCAUCCGUUAAUAAUAUCUUCAGACCAUCCCUUGAUGUAACACGUGAUAUUGCAACAUAUAGCUGCCCAUGUGAGAAGACCGGUUGUGGAAGAUAGAUGCCAACUUACUUAAGUGAUUGUCCCUGACUUUUGUUUAUAGUCAUUGCAAAACACAAAGCUAUAGGAAACUGUAUGCGUUGAAAUUUGAAAGGAAUUCUGGUAUCAGAUGGUUCAAUGACAAUCUCGGUAUGUAGACCUUCUCUCCAACAUUGCUUCCUGAUAUUACCCUCCCUUCAAUAACAUAUCUUCCCAUCUUAGUGACUAUUAGUCGAGUACCAUUACACAAACCUGCUGUUAUGUCCAAAUUUCUCAACAACAUAAUAGGAACUCCAACUUUCAAAGUAAUCUUGUGAUUAGGAAGACCCGAUGAAUUGAUUGUGUUCAAGAAUUCUGGUAUGUGAAUAUCAUCUGGCCUAUUGACUGAUGCGAUAUCUGCUAUUACAGAAUCACAACUCAAAUAUGUCCUUUCUUCGCCGGGAAUGAGAGACAAAACAUAGUUAUUAACCUCAUCAACAAUUGUAUUUUUAGGAGUCAAUAUUGCUUUAUCUUGAAAAAAAGAUGUAUCAUGCAUAUUGAGUAAUAUUGACGGAUAGAUGCAGUCAACAAUUGAAGCAAUAUGAUCACUUGCGCUAUUAACGAGUAGAUCAUCUGGGAUUUCCACCUGAAUGCUAUCAUCUCCAAUCCCUAAUACCCAUUUGGCGAAUUCUGUUCUUUCUUGUACCUCAUUUGGUGAACAUCCAUGCAAAAGUCUCAUAUUCGUUGUUAAUGUUAAUACCUCACAAUGUCGCCAAAGUUUUGACGAAUUAAUACUUGUAUAAACGACAUCUGGUCUGGUGCCUUUAGGAACGACUGGUAGAAUCUGUCGAAAAUCUCCACCAAGAACCACAACUUUACCACCAAAAGGAAUGUCUGUCCUCCUGUUAUUAUGAUCUUUAAGGACAUCCCUUAAGGUGCGAUCAAGAGCUUCAAAGCAAUGUUUGUGCAUCAUAGGUGCUUCGUCCCAGAUGAUUAGUUUUGCUCGUAUAAUCAAUUGUGCCAACGGACUUUUAGGCUUUAUAGUGCAAGUCGAACAUUCGUCCACAUUGAAAGGAAUGCAAAACCUUGAGUGUGCUGUUCUUCCGCCAGGGAUAAGCAAUGCGGCAAUACCGCUGGAUGCAACUGUCAACACAAUUUCACCCUUCGAAUGCAAUGCUGAUGACAAAGCUCUCCAAAUAAAUGUUUUACCUACAUUAAGGAACCUAAUUAGAUUAAUAUCAUACACUUGCCAAUAUAUAUUUCUCACCGGAAUUUAACAAAAUAAUCAAUUGUUGUAAACUACUAUAUUUCAAGUAUAGAUCUGAUGCAAAAUUGUUGUACUAUUAUGCUAAUAUAUACCAUCAAAAUAAAAAUUUGAUAAAACAAUAAUUUUCCCAGCCAAAGACUACAAUAAUGAUUAUUACAAAUUUUUUUGAAUGUUAUUAAAACGAUAUAUUUUAAUAGGCAGCAAUGUGAAAUUUAAAAAACCAAGAUGAGCUUCGAAAACAAACACGUGAUAGAUAUUAUUGAAGUAGCAAUAAACGUCACAAGAAAGGGGGGGUUUGAAUUGUGACCCUUUUAAAAAUUAUUCCUGAAACUUAAUUUUAGAUUUAUAUACUCAAGAAUAAUCUUGGUGAAUGUUAGUUUAUCAAGAUUAGAGUAUAUAACAAUUAAUUGAAUUAGAACAGAACGUUCUGAAGAAUGAUUAUAAACAGAAUGAGAAAAAUGAAGUUAAGUUAAAAGAUUAUUUUAGCAAGGACCAGAAUGUUCUGGAGAUUAAUAAAAUAAUGUGUGUGUGUUGUGUAACUUUAAAUAAAGAGAGAGAGAGAGAGAGAGAGAGAGAGAGAGAGAGAGAGAGAGAGAGAGAGAGAGAGAGAGAGAGAGAGAGAGAGAGAGAGAGAGAGAGAGAGAAAUAACACAGGAGAGUUAUCCUGAUUCACCAAACCCGGCUACUUCCAGUCCCCACACCUCGUGUGAGAUUAUCCACUAUAGUUUUCUUGCUAACAGAAACUUCUGACUAGCACUACAAUUUCUUGAUCACACCAGAUCAGUCCAUAACACCUGUAUUAUCAACCUCAGCAGGCUUAUACAAUUCUUUGCACACUAGCAAAAGAAAGGUUGGAAUUUUCUAUCUCAAAACUAUUAAGCCCAAUAGACUUUGAGAAAUACAACACACUUUGUAUGAAGAGAUUUGUUUGGAUAGAAUAAAUACUCAAAUCUUUGUUUGAGUUUUACAAGAGGCAAAUUCAAGAGAGAUGAUCCAAGAGAUAUAGUGAGAGAGCUUGGAAUUUGCUUUGUAUGUGAAGAGCUUUGUUUGUAGUGAUGAUUUUCACUUUGAGAGAUAUUAGCUUUCAAAACUCUUGCUUAUGACCUUCAAAGGCCCUUGUAUUUAUAGGUGAGGAGUGUCUUGGUGACCAAGGGAGAAAAUAGAGCUGUUGGACACGUUUUUGAUAGCUGUCCAAAGUCUCAUUUGAUUUCUCUUUUCUUCUUAAAAAUAGCCAGAACGUUCUCAGAAUGUUCUUUCUGAUUUGCCUGACUUUGAAAGCACUGUUGCUUUGCUUGCGCAUGAGAUAACCAGCUGUAAUGAGCUGUAUAACUUGCAGCCCACUUCUGAUGAUGUCAUGUCCUUUUGCUCUAGUGAUGUCAUGCUUAAGUAAGCCAUGUGAUCUUAUCCAUUUAAUGGGCUUUACUUUUCCAAAUGGGCUUAAAGCUUUUCUUAUGGCCCAAUAGACAUAAUCAGCCAAGCUUUCUUGCUGUGCAGACUUGUUCGCUUUUGAUGUACUGUUCCUUUUUCAUCGUUUUCGCCAGAACGUUCUCAUUUCAUUCUCAUGAAACAAAUUCUCACAAAAACGAAUUAGUAGAUAACAAGAUUAAAUAAAUAUAAUAUGUUUGUAAUCUUUAAAACAUCAAAUAAGGAUUUUGUCUCAACAAUCUCCCCCUUUUUGAUGAUGACAAACAUUUAUAAUUUAUUUUGAUUUUGAUUUUGAGUUUUUGAAAAAUUUGUUAAAAACUCCCCCUCAAUUUUAGCAACCAAAAUUUUGUGCCAUUUUGAGAGUUUUCCAGAAUUUGUUUAUGGACAAUUGAGUUUGAUAAUUUUAUCAAAGAACUCCCCCUCAAUUCAUGCAUUCAAGAUUUAAUAUGCAAAAUGAGAAUAUAGAACAUAAACAACAUAAUUCAUAAAUCAUGAAGAUCAUUACAAGGUAUCAAACCUAGCAUUUCAAAACAUCAAAAAGCAUUGUUCAUAUGCGCACAUACUAGCAGCAAUUUGAUCCUUAGUUAAUCAUGAUCAAAAGACAUAAACAGAGAAAUAAAAACAGAGUUUUUUUUAAACAUCAAAAUACUUAAACAUAAACAGCAGCAUAGUGAUCUAUUCUUCCCUAGAUCCUAACUGUUUUCCUGGUCCUCCUAACUCAUAAUCCCCUAAAUCAUCUCCCCCUUUGUCAUCAUGAAAAGGGGCAGCAGCAGCAGUAGGUGGAAUGGUUGGAGAAGAAGCAUCAGAUGAUGAAGAGAUAGUAGGCAUGAACAUGGGAUACAUAGGAACUGGGAAUGGGUUUUGUUCUGGUCUAGCAAACUCAUUCUUGUCACUUAUGGAGUCCUUCCACUCCUGACAGAGACUCUCACGCGUCUUUGUUCUUUUGCCUUUCCUUNNNNNNNNNNNNNNNNNNNNNNNNNNNNNNNNNNNNNNNNNNNNNNNNNNGAAGAGACUUAAGGGAAUCCAUUUGGACAGAUGAAUCAAAAGCUUGUGGAGCAAAUAAUUUGUCCACUGAAUCACAUUGAAACAAAGCAGAAUAAUCAUGCUUUUGAGGAGAGAUAAACAAUUUUGAAGGUUUUGUGAUUAUGGUUUUUUCAGUGAAACUUUGAAGAAUUUCUGAAGCUUUGACUUUUGACAGAGAAGCAUGAUUGCCAAAGUUUUCAAGCAGUUCCUGAUCUUCCUCCAUCACAGGAGAACGUUCUGAAGAACGUUCUGGAGGAUUGCAGUGUUCAUCAGAAGCAUUUUAUGGAACUGGAUUCUGCAGAUCAGGCCCAUCUUCCCUCUUUCUUUUGAGGUCAGAAGGAGGCUCAUCAACAGGUUCCUGCUUCAUGUGACUCAGAUUUUUUGGAGUAAAUUGAGAAUACUCAAAAACAGAUUUUUCACCUUCAAAAGGAAUAUGAUUCUUAAUGAAGAUUUUGGUAAGAGCCAUUCCAUAAGGAAGACAAGAUUUUUUGUUACGAGACUGAAUAACAUUGAUCAUGUUAUGAAUAAUGAUAUGAGGCAGACUCAAUUUUUCUUUCAUUAAGAGAUGAUACAUGACCAAGAGAUCAUUUGAACUAACAUGUUGAAAAUUACCAUUUCUAGGCAAGACACAAUGUUGGCUUAUGCCAUUCAGCAUUUUUGGGGUUGGCAGAAGGUUCGAAGAAACAAACUCAGUGACAUUUGGUUUGAAAAGGAGUUUGUAAACAUUUUCAGAAUUGACUUCAAGUUUUUCAAACCAAUCAUCACCAAAGACAGUUUGACCAGAAUUUGAGAUACCAAGAGUAUCAGAGAUUACCUGUGGAGUGAGACGUAUCUCAACAUCCUUAAUCCUAGACACUAUUAAGCUUUCCUCAGGGUAUGCUUCUGCCAUGAAAUAGAAAGCUUGGACAAGCUUUGGGUAGUGUCUCUCACGAAGCUGUAGAAAUUUGGUCCAGCCUUGCUCAUCAACAUACUCCUUAAGAACGACUUUGUCUUUUUCCAGCUUGACAAAAUCAUAAUACCUUCCAAUUCCAAUUGACCUAUUUCCCCAUUUUUCUUUGAAAUCCUUUUUCAGAGAAGGAUCAAACAGAGGUACUCUCUUUCCUGUAGAGAUAUGAAUGAUCUUCUGUUUUGAAGGAUUUUUGGGCUUUGGAGAACAUUCUGGAGAAUAAUCUGAAGAGAGUUCAUAGUCUUUAUCAGAAAGACUUUCUGAAGAACGUUCUGGAGAACGUUCUGGUUGAGCAGUUUGCUUCUGCUUUCCUUUGUCCUUCACAGUUGGUUUAGGCUUUGGUUUUGGUACAGAAACCUUGAUAGGAGGUUUAGAGACCUUUUUGUUACUCUUAGGUUUGGGCUUAAGAGGAGAAGGAGUUUUCUCAGCCAAAGGGGUAGUUGGUUCAGUUUCUUCAUCUGAAUCAGAGAUUUCAUGUACAGUUGUGUCUACACUGUUGGUUUUCUUUGUUCCAACUGCAGAACGAAGCCUUUGAGAUUUUCUAGGUCUUGGAUUAGGAGCAGAUUUAGCCUUCUUGGGAGGCAACUUCCUUUUGGUCAUGUUCCUGAGAUGAGGAGCCAUUUUGUUCAAGUUUGGAGGUUCCUGAGGAGCGGUUGGUUGAUCUUCAACACCUACUCUUGGUGUGUUGAGAUUUAGGUUGACCGAAGUUGGUUGUGGUUCAACGUAGAGUACCAUCGCGAGAGGAUGGAAGGAUUCAGGGUCAGGGAUGAAAGGAAGUUCUUCGUCGUUUUUCAAUGGAGUUUUUUCUGGUGUGGUUUCGGUGGUGAGAUAACCAUCUUGCAUGAUUGGUUCUGUGGAGUUAUUGAGCGGAGAUUGUGGUGGAGUUUCGAAUGGAGUGGUUUCCUUGGUUGGUGAUGGAGUUGAAUCGAACAGAGGAGGAGAUGACAGCGGUUUUGUCACCGGAGGAGAUGGUGGAGAAGGAGAACGGGUUGGUGAAGGUGAAGGAGAAGAGUCAUCUGGGUUAGUGUUUCCGGUUCCUUUGGUUCUAGCCAUUUUGUGAUGAAGAAAAUGGUGGUUGAGAGAAGAAGAAGAGACGGUUUGAAGAAGGAAGAAAGUGGGAGUUUAGAGAGAAAAAGUGAAAACCGGUUUUGGGAGAAGGAAAAAGGUAAGAAGUGACUAUUAGUGGUUUAAUGAUGAGAGAGAGGACAAGAGCAUUAAUGAGCUGUAAGAGAUUUCUUGGUAAUUAAAUUUCUACCUAGAGAUUAGCUUAAAUAGAACUAAGCUGAAAGGACAAGGUUGAGGCGUGACCCUCAAGCCAGUCUUUGGGAGACAUUUUUCAAAGAAUGUUUUCAGAACAUUCUGAUGAAGAGAGACUCUUCCUAUUUUAAUCCUUUGCAAGGAUUUUGAAUAAUAUGCAAUUUUUCUUUAAUGAAAUUAAAGUGAUCCUCAACUAAAGGUUUAGUAAAGAUAUCAGCUAAUUGAUUUUUUGUAUCAACAAAAAUCAAUUCAAUUUCCUUUUUAUUGACAUGAUCCCUAAUGAAAUGAUGUUUUAUUUCAAUAUGUUUUGAUCUUGAAUGUUGAAUGGGAUUCUUUGAUAAAUUUAUUGCACUUGUAUUGUCACAAAAUACUGGAAUAUUUGUGUACCUUAUUGAGAAAUCUUCAAGUUGAUUUUUAAUCCAGAGAACUUGAGAACAACAGUUGGCUGCUGACACAUAUUCUGCUUCUGUAGUUGACAGAGCUAUAGUGUUCUGCUUUCUGCAUGACCAACUUAUGAGUGCAUUCCCAAGAAACUGACAUGCUCCACUUGUACUUUUUCUUUCUAUUCUGUCUCCAGCAUAGUCAUCAUCACAGUAUGCUAUAAGAUCAAAACAAGACCCUUUGCUAUACCAAAGGCCAAGAUCAGUAGUACCUACUAGAUAUCUGAAAAUUCUUUUUACAGCAGUUAAAUGAGAUUCCCUUGGAGAGGUUUGAAAACGUGCACAUAAACCAACAGCAAAAACAAUAUCUGGUCUGCUAGCAGUUAAGUACAACAGAGAUCCAAUCAUACCUCUGUAUUCUUUUUCAGAAAUGGUUUUUCCAUUUUCAUCCUUAUCUAAAUUAGAUGUUGGAUGCAUGGGAGUUGCCAUUAUUUUGGCUUCAUUCAUUUUAUAUUUUUUAAGAAGAUCUCUUAUAUAUUUUUCUUGACAAAUAAAAAUGCCAUUUGAUUCUUGCUUAAUUUGCAAGCCAAGAAAGAAUCUUAAUUCUCCCAUCAUACUCAUUUCGAAUUCACUUUGCAUGAGAUUUGAAAAAUCAUCACACAUUUUUUCAUUUGUUGAACCGAAUAUGAUAUCAUCAACAUAAAUUUGAACAAUUAAAAAAUUUGUUUUGUCAUUUUUUCUAAAAAGGGUUGUAUCAAUUUUUCCUCUAGAAAAAUCAUUUUUGAUUAAGAAUGGACUUAACCUUUCAUACCAAGCUCGAGGAGCUUGUUUAAGACCAUAUAGUGCUUUUGUGAGUUUAAACACAUGAUUAGGUUUGUUUGUGUUCUCAAAACCAGGAGGUUGAUGAACAUAAACUUCCUCAUUUAAAAAUCCAUUUAAAAAGGCACUUUUGACAUCCAUUUGAAAUAAUUUAAUAUUUUUAUGAGAUGCAUAUGCAAGAAGAAUUCUAAUUGCUUCUAACCUGGCUACCGGAGCAAAGGUUUCAUCGUAAUCAAUACCUUCUUGUUGAUUGUACCCUUGAGCUACCAAUCUAGCUUUGUUUCUGAUAACUUUUCCUUCUUCAUUUAGUUUAUUUCUAAAUACCCAUCUUGUUCCAAUGAUGGAUUGAUUUUGAGGUUUAGGAACAAGAUUCCAUACUUCAUUCUUUUCAAAUUGAGAGCGUUCUUCUUCCAUGGCUUUUACCCAUGAUUCUUCACAUAUUGCUUCUUGUAUAUUUUUUGGUUCAAUGUGAGAAAUCAUUGCCAUGUUGACAUCAUUAUUCAUAAAUGAUCGUCUUGUUCUUAUUCCAUCAGAUGUGUCUCCAACGAUUUGUUCAGGAGGAUGAUCACCGACGGUUUUCCAGCUUUUUGGAAGAACUUGAGAAGAAUGUUCUUGAGAAUCAUUACUUUCUUUUUGAGGAAUUUCUUCUUCAUCUUCUUUGUUGAUUAUCAAGUCAUCAAACUCAUCAAAAAUAACAUGCAUGCUUAUUUCCAUGGUUUGAUUUUUCAAAUUAUAAAUUCUAUAUCCUUUGGAGUUUGUUGCAUAUCCUAAGAAUAUUCCUUUAUCUGAUUUUGAAUCAAAUUUUCCUAGAUUUUCUUUAUCAUUUAAAAUAUAACAAUAACAUCCAAAAAUAUGAAAAUAUGAGAUGUUAGGUUUUAUAUUUUUCCAGAGUUCGUAUGGGGUUUUGUUUAAAACUUUUCUAAUUGAAACCCUGUUUAUGAUAUAACAAGAAGUAUUUAUGGCUUCAGCCCAAAAGUAUUUUUCUACAUUUGAUUCAUUUAACAUUGUUCUUGCCAUUUCUUGGAGUGUUCUAUUUUUUCUUUCAACAACUCCAUUUUGUUGUGGAGUUCUUGCACAUGAAAAAUUAUGAGAAAUUCCUUUUUCAUCAAAGAAGUUUUUAAAGAAAGCAUUUUCAAAUUCUCCUCCAUGAUCACUUCUUACUGAAAUGAUUUUUGAUUCUUUUUCAUUUUGAACUAAUGUGCAAAAAGUUUUGAAUGCUUCACAAGCUUCAUCUUUAUGUUUUAAAAAUAGAACCCAUGUAUAUCUGGAAAAAUCAUCAACUAUAACAAACCCAUAUUGUUUUCCACUUAGACUGGCGGUUUUAACAGGACCAAAUAGAUCUAUGUGAAGUAGUUCAAGAGGUCUCUUAGUUGAAACAAAAUCAUUUGUUUUAAAACUGCUUUUAACUUGUUUACCUCUUGUACAAGCUUCGCAUAUUCUAUCUUUUUCAAAAUCAAUUUUUGGAAGUCCUCUUACAAGAUCCAGUUUGGCGAUUUUUGAAAUAGUUUUCAUACUUAUAUGUCCAGCUCUUUUGUGCCAAAUCCAUUUAUCUUUUUCAAGUGUCAUAAAACAUGUUUCUGCUGGAAUAUCAUCUAAGUAUAAAGCAUAUAGGUUUUUCUUUCUAGAAGCGGUAAAGAAAAUCUUACCUGAGGAUGUAUGUUUUACAAUACAUGUAUUAGGUUUGAAAAUAACUUCAAAGCCACUAUCACAUAAUUGACUUAUGCUUAGUAGAUUGUGUUUUAAACCUUCAACAUAUUGAACAUCCUCAAUUUUUGCAGAGUCUUUUUUACCAAUAAUACCUUUACCUUUAAUUUGUCCUUUGUCAUUAUUGCCAAAGGUUACUAGACCUCCUUCCUUUUUUGUGAAGGAGAUGAAGCAUUGUUUAUCCCCAGUCAUGUGUCUAGAACAACCACUGUCCAAGUACCAUGGCUUUGUUCUUGCAUCUUGUGAGGAUCCCUGCAUUUUGAGUUAGUGGUUCCUUAGGUACCCAUGAAGAUGUGGGUCCUUUGUGGUUAGUUUCUUUGGUCUCAAGAUGUUUAAUCUUGAGAAAACAGUUUAAUUCUAGAUGACCUAAUCUCUUACAAUAUGAGCAUUCUUUUCUUUUUAAUGAGAAAGAAUGUUCUGGAGAAUGUUCUGAGAUAGAUGGUUCUUCUUUAAUUUCUAGUUUUCUCUUUUUAUGAAAACAGACUGAUUCAUGAUGUCCCCUUUUAUUACAGAAAGAACAUUUUAGUUUUUGUGGUAUAAGAACCUUUUCAUAAAUUUGAUUAAAACCUAAACCAGUUUUGUCAAAUUCUGCCAUUUGUGAACCCACAAUUUUUUGAAAUGUUUCUGUUGAUUUUAUAAACUGUGAAAGAUCAUUUCUAAGUUCUUUGACUUCCUUUUUAAGAAUAACAUUUUCAUUUUUAGAAAUUUCAGGAAGUUUUGUUUUUCCAAAAGCUUUUAAUUUUUCAGCUGCUUGAAAAUAAGAAUCUUGUAGACUUUGAAUGAUUUUCUUUUGAUCAUUAUUCAAAGUUUGAAGUUUCUCUUUUUCUUCUUUUAACUCAGAAAUUUCUUUUUGUAAAGAGUGACAUUUGUUUGUUAAGAAAUUUGAGUCAAAUAAAAGACUAUCAAAUUUAUUUUCUAACUCUUUAUAUACUAGAGGUUGGUUGAUAAGAAUUACCUCUUCGUUUUCUGAAUCUGCCAUUAGAACCAUGUUGGCUUCAGUGUCUUCAUCUUUUGAUUCUUCAAGAUCAUCCCAUGUAAACAUUGAUUUUGAGUAGGGAGAUUUUUUCUGACUCUUUUUGUUUAAUGGACAUUCGUUUUUGUAAUGUCUUAAUUUGUUGCAUCCAAAGCAGGUUACUUGACUUUUGUCAACUUCUCCUUUUGAGUUAUCUUUCUUGUUAGGAAAGUAUUUCUUUAUUUGAUCUCUUCUUCUCAUCAUUCUUUGAAUCUUCUUUGUGAUGAGAGCUAGUUCGUCUUCUGCUUCACCUUGGAUGUUUUCUUCUUCAUUGGUUUCUUUAAUUUCUUCGCUUUGUGAAAAGACAUCUUCUUGUUCACUUUGAGAUGCUUUGAGAGCAACCAUCUUUCCUUUCCUUGAUGGUUUAUCAUCUUGCAGCAGCGUCUCAUGAGCUUUUAAUGACCCAAUGAGAUCUUCAAGAGCUAAAGAGUUUAAGUCUUUAGCUUGUGUGAUUGCAGUUACCAUGGGUCUCCAUGUGCUUGGAAGACAUCUUAAGAUUUUUCUUAUCCGAUCAUGAGUGGUAUAAGUUUUUCCAAGUGAUCUUAAUUCAUUCACAAUAGAUGUGAAUCUGGAGUACAUUUCAUCAAUGUUCUCAUCUUCGUUCAUUUCGAAGAUUUCAAAUUUUCUUACGCCAAUGUCUAUUCUUGUUUCUUUUACAUGGCUAGUUCCUUCAUGAUGAAUUUUUAGAGUGUCCCACACUUCUUUUGCAGUCACACAUUCAUCAACUCUUUCACUUUCUUCCAUGCUUAGUGCGCAUGAUAGAAAGAGUCGAGCUUUAGAGUUUAGAAGUACUUUUUCUUUAUCUUCUUUUGACCAUGAUGCUUCUGGUGUGAGUGUCUCCACCUUUGUUGUUGCAUCGGUUGUCAUAGGUAUGUGUUCUCCAUUUGUGAUUAUUUUCCACAUAUCCACAUCUUGGGAUCUAAGGAAUAGUUCCAUUUUUCCUUUCCAGAAAUAAUAGUUCUUUCCAUUGAAGAAUGGUGGUCUUGUGCAUGAUAGACCUUCUGGUAUAUACUUUUCUUUUGACAUUGCCUUCUUCCUGAAUCUUUUCCUCCAACACUUGUUAGGUGUUUUUGUAGAGCCCGAGCUCUGAUACCAAUUGAAGUAGCAAUAAACGUCACAAGAAAGGGGGGGGGGUUUGAAUUGUGACCCUUUUAAAAAUUAUUCCUGAAACUUAAUUUUAGAUUUAUAUACUCAAGAAUAAUCUUGGUGAAUGUUAGUUUAUCAAGAUUAGAGUAUAUAACAAUUAAUUGAAUUAGAAUAGAACGUUCUGAAGAAUGAUUAUAAACAGAAUGAGAAAAAUGAAGUUAAGUUAAAAGAUUAUUUUAGCAAGGACCAGAAUGUUCUGGAGAUUAAUAAAAUAAUGUGUGUGUGUUGUGUAACUUUAAAUAAAGAGAGAGAGAGAGAGAGAGAGAGAGAGAGAGAGAGAGAGAGAGAGAGAGAGAAAGAGAAAAAUAACACAGGAGAGUUAUCCUGGUUCACCAAACCCGGCUACUUCCAGUCCCCACACCUCGUGUGAGAUUAUCCACUAUAGUUUUCUUGCUAACAGAAACUUCUGACUAGCACUACAAUUUCUUGAUCACACCAGAUCAGUCCGUAACACCUGUAUUAUCAACCUCAGCAGGCUUAUACAAUUCUUUGCACACUAGCAAAAGAAAGGUUGGAAUUUUCUAUCUCAAAACUAUUAAGCCCAAUAGACUUUGAGAAAUACAACACACUUUGUAUGAAGAGAUUUGUUUGGAUAGAAUAAAUACUCAAAUCUUUGUUUGAGUUUUACAAGAGGCAAAUUCAAGAGAGAUGAUCCAAGAGAUAUAGUGAGAGAGCUUGGAAUUUGCUUUGUAUGUGAAGAGCUUUGUUUGUAGUGAUGAUUUUCACUUUGAGAGAUAUUAGCUUUCAAAACUCUUGCUUAUGACCUUCAAAGGCCCUUGUAUUUAUAGGUGAGGAGUGUCUUGGUGACCAAGGGAGAAAAUAGAGCUGUUGGACACGUUUUUGAUAGCUGUCCAAAGUCUCAUUUGAUUUCUCUUUUCUUCUUAAAAAUAGCCAGAACGUUCUCAGAAUGUUCUUUCUGAUUUGCCUGACUUUGAAAGCACUGUUGCUUUGCUUGCGCAUGAGAUAACCAGCUGUAAUGAGCUGUAUAACUUGCAGCCCACUUCUGAUGAUGUCAUGUCCUUUUGCUCUAGUGAUGUCAUGCUUAAGUAAGCCAUGUGAUCUUAUCCAUUUAAUGGGCUUUACUUUUCCAAAUGGGCUUAAAGCUUUUCUUAUGGCCCAAUAGACAUAAUCAGCCAAGCUUUCUUGCUGUGCAGACUUGUUCGCUUUUGAUGUACUGUUCCUUUUUCAUCGUUUUCGCCAGAACGUUCUCAUUUCAUUCUCAUGAAACAAAUUCUCACAAAAACGAAUUAGUAGAUAACAAGAUUAAAUAAAUAUAAUAUGUUUGUAAUCUUUAAAACAUCAAAUAAGGAUUUUGUCUCAACAAUCUCCCCCUUUUUGAUGAUGACAAACAUUUAUAAUUUAUUUUGAUUUUGAUUUUGAGUUUUUGAAAAAUUUGUUAAAAACUCCCCCUCAAGUUUAGCAACCAAAAUUUUGUGCCAUUUUGAGAGUUUUCCAGAAUUUGUUUAUGGACAAUUGAGUUUGAUAAUUUUAUCAAAGAACUCCCCCUCAAUUCAUGCAUUCAAGAUUUAAUAUGCAAAAUGAGAAUAUAGAACAUAAACAACAUAAUUCAUAAAUCAUGAAGAUCAUUACAAGGUAUCAAACCUAGCAUUUCAAAACAUCAAAAAGCAUUGUUCAUAUGCGCACAUACUAGCAGCAAUUUGAUCCUUAGUUAAUCAUGAUCAAAAGACAUAAACAGAGAAAUAAAAACAGAGUUUUUUUUAAACAUCAAAAUACUUAAACAUAAACAGCAGCAUAGUGAUCUAUUCUUCCCUAGAUCCUAACUGUUUUCCUGGUCCUCCUAACUCAUAAUCCCCUAAAUCAUCUCCCCCUUUGUCAUCAUGAAAAGGGGCAGCAGCAGCAGUAGGUGGAAUGGUUGGAGAAGAAGCAUCAGAUGAUGAAGAGAUAGUAGGCAUGAACAUGGGAUACAUAGGAACUGGGAAUGGGUUUUGUUCUGGUCUAGCAAACUCAUUCUUGUCACUUAUGGAGUCCUUCCACUUCCUUGACAGAGACAUUUCAAAAGUCAUCCAAGACAGAUAAUGCAAAAUUGCAUUGUUCCCUUCAAUUACCCUAGUCAAGUCACUGCGUGUCUUGCUGCAGUCUUUCUCAACCUUGGACCUUUUGGUUGGCCUUUCAUUGUGCUCAAAAAUCCUUUGCGCCAUUGAAGGAGAUUCAUUGAAUCUUGAAGGAAAGGAGAGAUUAGUUUGAAGAGACUUAAGGGAAUCCAUUUGGACAGAUGAAUCAAAAGCUUGUGGAGCAAAUAAUUUGUCCACUGAAUCACAUUGAAACAAAGCAGAAUAAUCAUGCUUUUGAGGAGAGAUAAACAAUUUUGAAGGUUUUGUGAUUAUGGUUUUUUCAGUGAAACUUUGAAGAAUUUCUGAAGCUUUGACUUUUGACAGAGAAGCAUGAUUGCCAAAGUUUUCAAGCAGUUCCUGAUCUUCCUCCAUCACAGGAGAACGUUCUGAAGAACGUUCUGGAGGAUUGCAGUGUUCAUCAGAAGCAUUUUAUGGAACUGGAUUCUGCAGAUCAGGCCCAUCUUCCCUCUUUCUUUUGAGGUCAGAAGGAGGCUCAUCAACAGGUUCCUGCUUCAUGUGACUCAGAUUUUUUGGAGUAAAUUGAGAAUACUCAAAAACAGAUUUUUCACCUUCAAAAGGAAUAUGAUUCUUAAUGAAGAUUUUGGUAAGAGCCAUUCCAUAAGGAAGACAAGAUUUUUUGUUACGAGACUGAAUAACAUUGAUCAUGUUAUGAAUAAUGAUAUGAGGCAGACUCAAUUUUUCUUUCAUUAAGAGAUGAUACAUGACCAAGAGAUCAUUUGAACUAACAUGUUGAAAAUUACCAUUUCUAGGCAAGACACAAUGUUGGCUUAUGCCAUUCAACAUUUUUGGGGUUGGCAGAAGGUUCGAAGACACAAACUCAGUGACAUUUGGUUUGAAAAGGAGUUUGUAAACAUUUUCAGAAUUGACUUCAAGUUUUUCAAACCAAUCAUCACCAAAGACAGUUUGACCAUAAUUUGAGAUACCAAGAGUAUCAGAGAUUACCUGUGGAGUGAGACGUAUCUCAACAUCCUUAAUCCUAGACACUAUUAAGCUUUCCUCAGGGUAUGCUUCUGCCAUGAAAUAGAAAGCUUGGACAAGCUUUGGGUAGUGUCUCUCACGAAGCUGUAGAAAUUUGGUCCAGCCUUGCUCAUCAACAUACUCCUUAAGAACGACUUUGUCUUUUUCCAGCUUGACAAAAUCAUAAUACCUUCCAAUUCCAAUUGACCUAUUUCCCCAUUUUUCUUUGAAAUCCUUUUUCAGAGAAGGAUCAAACAGAGGUACUCUCUUUCCUGUAGAGAUAUGAAUGAUCUUCUGUUUUGAAGGAUUUUUGGGCUUUGGAGAACAUUCUGGAGAAUAAUCUGAAGAGAGUUCAUAGUCUUUAUCAGAAAGACUUUCUGAAGAACGUUCUGGAGAACGUUCUGGUUGAGCAGUUUGCUUCUGCUUUCCUUUGUCCUUCACAGUUGGUUUAGGCUUUGGUUUUGGUACAGAAACCUUGAUAGGAGGUUUAGAGACCUUUUUGUUACUCUUAGGUUUGGGCUUAAGAGGAGAAGGAGUUUUCUCAGCCAAAGGGGUAGUUGGUUCAGUUUCUUCAUCUGAAUCAGAGAUUUCAUGUACAGUUGUGUCUACACUGUUGGUUUUCUUUGUUCCAACUGCAGAANNNNNNNNNNNNNNNNNNNNNNNNNNNNNNNNNNNNNNNNNNNNNNNNNNAAAUAAUAUAAAUCAAGUAGGGGAGGGGGUGGGUGGUGUGGGGUUAGAAGAAAAGAAUAUUUUUUUUUUUUUUUGUUUUUUUUUGAAAAAUUUUUGCCCCAUUAUAAAAAAACCCCUUGUUUUGUCUUUGAUUUGUUCUUUAUUUUUUUUUUUUUUUUUUUAAAAAGAAUUCUCCCCAUGAUAAAAAAAUGUUUUUUGGAGUGGAGGGAGGUUUUUUUUUAGAGUUUUUUUUUUUUUAAAGGACACUUUGGUUUUUGUUAAAGUUUUUAAAUUUUUGGGCAUCCCAAAACCAGGGUAACUUGACCUUUUUUCAAAUUUUUUCCUUUUGGAGUUUUUUUUUUUUUUUUAGGGAAAAGUAUUUUUUUUAUUUUGAUUUUUUUUUUUUCCAUCAAUUUUUGAAAUCUUUUUUUGGGAGAAGAGCUAUGUUCUUUUUUUGGCUUCCCCUUGGAUGUUUUUCUUUUUCAUUGGUUUCUUUAUUUCUUCGCUUUGUGAAAAGACAUCUUCUUGUUCACUUUGAGAUGCUUUGAGAGCAACCAUCUUUCCUUUCCUUGAUGGUUUAUCAUCUUGCAGCAGCGUCUCAUGAGCUUUUAAUGACCCAAUGAGAUCUUCAAGAGCUAAAGAGUUUAAGUCUUUAGCUUGUGUGAUUGCAGUUACCAUGGGUCUCCAUGUGCUUGGAAGACAUCUUAAGAUUUUUCUUAUCCGAUCAUGAGUGGUAUAAGUUUUUCCAAGUGAUCUUAAUUCAUUCACAAUAGAUGUGAAUCUGGAGUACAUUUCAUCAAUGUUCUCAUCUUCGUUCAUUUCGAAGAUUUCAAAUUUUCUUACGCCAAUGUCUAUUCUUGUUUCUUUUACAUGGCUAGUUCCUUCAUGAUGAAUUUUUAGAGUGUCCCACACUUCUUUUGCAGUCACACAUUCAUCAACUCUUUCACUUUCUUCCAUGCUUAGUGCGCAUGAUAGAAAGAGUCGAGCUUUAGAGUUUAGAAGUACUUUUUCUUUAUCUUCUUUUGACCAUGAUGCUUCUGGUGUGAGUGUCUCCACCUUUGUUGUUGCAUCGGUUGUCAUAGGUAUGUGUUCUCCAUUUGUGAUUAUUUUCCACAUAUCCACAUCUUGGGAUCUGAGGAAUAGUUCCAUUUUUCCUUUCCAGAAAUAAUAGUUCUUUCCAUUGAAGAAUGGUGGUCUUGUGCAUGAUAGACCUUCUGGUAUAUACUUUUCUUUUGACAUUGCCUUCUUCCUGAAUCUUUUCCUCCAACACUUGUUAGGUGUUUUUGUAGAGCCCGGGCUCUGAUACCAAUUGAAGUAGCAAUAAACGUCACAAGAAAGGGGGGGGGGUUUGAAUUGUGACCCUUUUAAAAAUUAUUCCUGAAACUUAAUUUUAGAUUUAUAUACUCAAGAAUAAUCUUGGUGAAUGUUAGUUUAUCAAGAUUAGAGUAUAUAACAAUUAAUUGAAUUAGAACAGAACGUUCUGAAGAAUGAUUAUAAACAGAAUGAGAAAAAUGAAGUUAAGUUAAAAGAUUAUUUUAGCAAGGACCAGAAUGUUCUGGAGAUUAAUAAAAUAAUGUGUGUGUGUUGUGUAACUUUAAAUAAAGAGAGAGAGAGAGAGAGAGAGAGAGAGAGAGAGAGAGAAAAAUAACACAGGAGAGUUAUCCUGGUUCACCAAACCCGGCUACUUCCAGUCCCCACACCUCGUGUGAGAUUAUCCACUAUAGUUUUCUUGCUAACAGAAACUUCUGACUAGCACUACAAUUUCUUGAUCACACCAGAUCAGUCCGUAACACCUGUAUUAUCAACCUCGGCAGGCUUAUACAAUUCUUUGCACACUAGCAAAAGAAAGGUUGGAAUUUUCUAUCUCAAAACUAUUAAGCCCAAUAGACUUUGAGAAAUACAACACACUUUGUAUGAAGAGAUUUGUUUGGAUAGAAUAAAUACUCAAAUCUUUGUUUGAGUUUUACAAGAGGCAAAUUCAAGAGAGAUGAUCCAAGAGAUAUAGUGAGAGAGCUUGGAAUUUGCUUUGUAUGUGAAGAGCUUUGUUUGUAGUGAUGAUUUUCACUUUGAGAGAUAUUAGCUUUCAAAACUCUUGCUUAUGACCUUCAAAGGCCCUUGUAUUUAUAGGUGAGGAGUGUCUUGGUGACCAAGGGAGAAAAUAGAGCUGUUGGACACGUUUUUGAUAGCUGUCCAAAGUCUCAUUUGAUUUCUCUUUUCUUCUUAAAAAUAGCCAGAACGUUCUCAGAAUGUUCUUUCUGAUUUGCCUGACUUUGAAAGCACUGUUGCUUUGCUUGCGCAUGAGAUAACCAGCUGUAAUGAGCUGUAUAACUUGCAGCCCACUUCUGAUGAUGUCAUGUCCUUUUGCUCUAGUGAUGUCAUGCUUAAGUAAGCCAUGUGAUCUUAUCCAUUUAAUGGGCUUUACUUUUCCAAAUGGGCUUAAAGCUUUUCUUAUGGCCCAAUAGACAUAAUCAGCCAAGCUUUCUUGCUGUGCAGACUUGUUCGCUUUUGAUGUACUGUUCCUUUUUCAUCGUUUUCGCCAGAACGUUCUCAUUUCAUUCUCAUGAAACAAAUUCUCACAAAAACGAAUUAGUAGAUAACAAGAUUAAAUAAAUAUAAUAUGUUUGUAAUCUUUAAAACAUCAAAUAAGGAUUUUGUCUCAACAAUUAUAACAUUACGAAUGAGGUUACAUUUUAAGAUGCAAGAUUGCCGUAAUUUAACAAUCCAAAGUGAGUAAUCAAACAGACACGCGAGACUAAUUAUCACAUUAUGAACGACGAUCAGAUUUUAAGAUGCAAGUAUCGCAUGUCUGUUUCAUUACUCACUACUUUUCCUUAUGUGUAAACUUUUCAAGGCUACGGUGACACCGCAAUUCAAAAUAUGCAAGAAGUACUGAAAUUUGGUCGAAACGAUAUAUUUUAAUAUGCAGCAAUGAUCUCAUUAAAAAAACCAAGACGAGCUUUGAAAACAAACAUGUGAUAGAUAUUAUAACAUUACGAAUGAGGAUACAUUUUAAGAUGCAAGAUUGCUGCAAUUUAACAAUCAAAAGUGAGUAAUGAAACAGACACGCGAGACUACUUAUCACAUUAUGAACGACGAUCAGAUUUUUUGAAUGCAGCAAUGCCGCUUUUUGAAAAAUCUGAUACACUACUUUUCCUUAUGUGUAAACUUAUAAAGGCUACGGUGACACCGCGAUUCAAAAUAUGCAAGAAGUACUGAAUAUUGGUUGAAACGAAAUAUUUUAUUAUGCAGCAAUGUGAAAUUUAAAAAAACCAAGAUGCAGCAAUGCCGCUUUCAAAAAACUCUAAUUGUGUUUUGAAACAAACACGUGAUAAUAUAUUCGACAGUAUAAUACAUUCCGUUGUAUUGAAACAUCUGGUGUAAAAUAAUAUCUACUAUGAUAAUAUAUAUUUUCAACGACUGACAACACAUUAUAUUAUGUAUAAAAGAAAUAACCUUUAAACAUACACGGAUACACGUUAAAGUAAAAGUAUGAAGGUUCCUCUGACACCGCAAUUCAAAAUAUUCGCACAGCAAAGAAAUUAGAUUCCGUCAACAAUGACAAAGUUGUGAGCAUUUAAGUAAGAAACUCAACAAAAAGUGAAAUGCAGCAAUGCUGCUUUCAAAAAACUCUAAUUGUGUUUUUCAUAGAAUCAUACUCCCUUAAAAUAGGUUUCAACGAAAGGUCAGACAUACCAGAUAAACUGUGCAAAGCUUUGCGAGUAUUCUCUGCAACAUCAUUAUCCAUUCUGUUUCGUUUGAUCCACCUUGACUACUAAUUAGCCGUAACAAUAAGUUUUUUUGCAGAGAGAACAGAUGUGUAAGUAUGAGCCUCCAAAUGAUAUGUAAACCAAUGAAUUACCGCAUAAAUAGACAUUAAUGCGAUUUGGGUAACAACAAUUCUGAAUUAAUGACAUGACUUUGAAGCUGAACAGACACGUCCAAACAUUGAAUCAAAAAGAUCGUGAAACAAAGCAUGGGAAAACACUAUAUGAAUCUCUUCCAUAAUGCAAUCAAAGAGAAGUAUAUGACAAUUAAUACUAAUCAUAUAUCUUAUCUGUAACAUCAGCAGAAAUGAUGUUUUUUUUUGUAUAUCUGAGCAUCUUGAUAACUAAAAACGCACAUCUGACCGCAAUAAACCUACCCAAUUAUCAUACUGCUGAUGGAUUAGCAAUUUAAGGAAACACAUCAAUCUAAAAAUAUAAUGAGAUCAUCUGAUUAUAAAGGUUGUUACAAUUUUAUUAGGUGCAUUUGACUAAUAUCAUUGCCGAUUCCAUCAUUAUUAUUUAUCUAUCAAGAAAACGCCGUUGCUACAAAGCAAUAUAUUAAUAACAACAACGCCGCGUGUAGCAUUGUAUUCGUCUGUACACAAUAGGAGGUGAAUACUGCAUCUUAAUUUGUUUAUUCAAUAAAGAAGUUGUGCCAUUACAGGGAUUAAAAAAGAAAAAAGCACCAUUGCAUUAUCGGAAUAACCCACACCUUUUGAAUUACAUAAGACUGAUUUUCUAUUUUGCCUACCAGAACUUGCAAUACUAAAAAUGCAAAAUUUAAAAGAAUCUAAUAUAGAGCAUUAUUCACUUCUAAACAUCACACCCUUCUUAAUGAAAAAAAGAAAAAAAAAAUGAUGCAUUCAAACAAAAUAUGAAGCAUAAGUCUGCCACGCCACCACUAAAACUCAUCCAAACGUUGCACAUUGUUAAGAAGAUCAGUUGCGAAUCACACGAAGGUAGAGAGUUGUGUUGCUUCCAGCCAUUGGAGCACCAAGAACUAAUCGGGAACCUUGGCGAAGCCUGCGUGCCAUAACCAAUCUCUUCCAGCCACCUCCGAUUAUGAAAUGAGGUCCGCCAUCAGUAGCAAACAUCAAAGUACAGCCCCACACAUUGCCAUUGUCAUCAAAGUAAAGCGAAUAAAGUAAGUUUGUUUACUGUCAAAUGCAUAUAAAUAUAAUUACUCACGUUAAUAAAGUUAAGCUCGACUGUGUAAGUUCUAUACUUGAUACGAAGAUCAUUGACAAUCCUUUCCAAUUCAGAAUUCGGAUUAGGGUUCAGAGGUGCUGUUAUAAAAAAACAACAAAAAAGAAACAUAAGUGAGUUGUACAAAACUGGAAAUAACAACAUCAAAUGAUGGAAACUUAUACCUAUCAAAGCAUGGUAGGAAAGCAGUGCCUGGAUUCCAUUAUUUGCCAUGGGAUUCGAUUGAACUUGAAAAAGAAUGAGAUGUGAUUUUUUUGAUUCCAUGGUAUGGUAUAUAUACACGUUCAGAUUCAUUCACUAUGAUAAGGAGGUUAUGAUACCUAUACAUUGUUAUCAUAUCAAAGGCUUUGGAAUCAAUAACAACAUUAAAUGCAAUCAUGGAAUGGGGGAAGCCACAACCAAAAGCGUUAAAUGUAAUUAGCAUGGGGAAACUGAAAGUGCCAAGUCAAAUGAGAUCAAAGGAUGAGAUGAAUGCUUAGCUAGCUCAUUUGAUCAAACGGCUCUCCUUAAUUGGCGCCCAAAAUGGCUAGGUUUAGGGUUUUGCAAGGUAAUUAGCAUUGUUAACAAAGAUUAGAUAUAAGUAUGAUAAGAUAAGAUAAGAUAUAUUGAAUUUUAAUAAAUUUUUAAUUUUUAAAAUAAGAGAGGGCCUAAGCCCAAGAAAAAAACUACACUAAAAGUACAUAAAAUUGCUUUUCUUACUGCAAAAACUUUCUAAUAACACAUGAAAGUUACUAAAUUGUCCAUAGAAGUAGUUAACUACCAUUGGCAAGUCCGACAUCAGUUAAUUACCACUGACUCCCAACUGCAGUUAACUACCGCUGGCUCAUCUGCACUUAAGUUCGGUUCCUAGCAGAGCAUCAAUUGUGAUUAUGCGCGUUUCGGUCGAAAAAAAUAAAAAAAUCGAGACUUAUUUGGAAUGUUACGGAACAUUCCACAUCCUCUAUAUGUAUUUUUACAGAGGUGUCUAUAAAUUUGGUAACAUUCCGACUAAGUCUCGAUAUAUUUUGAUUUUUUGACCGAACCGUGCAAAAUCACAAUUUUUUUCAAGUUCGAGUCCGGAAAAGUGACCUAGACGUUGAAUUUUUUCAUGAUUUUUUGCACUCAUGUUUAGGACAAAAAAGAACAUCUCCCACAAAAAUUUUGAACUUUUUCGACAAUGGACGAAUCCUUUAUAUCUAAUCCUAGCAAACAUGCAAACCCUAAUUCCACAAUCCUAAACCUAAAAAAUUGGCUCCCAAAUUUGAAAUUUGAAUUUCAUAUUGGAAAACCAAUGCACACUACUCAAUACAUAUCUUAAGGGCUAGGAUUAAAUGCGACUAAUACCUCAAAUUCGUCCUUGAAUUUUAAAAAAUCGGUCAAAUUCGUCCCUGAAUUUUGCGAAAUAUCUAUUUAGUCCCUGAAUUUACAAAAUAUCAAUCAAAUCAGUCCCUCUGUUAAGUUGGUCUGUUUACGGAGGUGACGUGUAACGUUAACCUCUUACAAGGCUUACCAUGUCAGAUGUCACGCAAGCAGGGACCAAAUUGAUUGAUUUACAGAAAAUUGUCAAGGACCAAAUUGAUGGAUUUUCAGAAAAUUGCCAACGUUUCCAAGGACCAAAUUGAUGGAUUUUCAGAAAAUUCCCAACGACUCUUUCUCCCGUUUCUCAUUAAAGAAUCUUUCUCCUCUUCCUCAUUAACGGCUCUUUCUUCCCCAAAUAUAUAAAUUUGGAACCCUAAUGUUAUAAUUUGUUACCUAGAGUUCAAAAUCCCCCAAAUUUCUUCCAUGACUUGAUGUCAAUGUUCUUCCCAAUUAAAUAAACUUAACACCCUAAUUUUUUUGAUUCAAUUCGAAAUUCAAAAACCAAUGGUCAUUGUUGAAGAUUCGGUGUUCAGAAAUGAUGGGUAGUGGGCGUAUGGGCAAAAAAAACUACAAUAGUCAGUCUUCAUCUUCAAGCUCUAUGUACAAUGAUAAGGUGAGAGAGCUUCAAUGUUGCUGACCUAGAAUUUGUGUUGUAAGAGAAGCCAACACUGUCAAUAACCAAGGAAGGCCUUUCUAUAUCUUCCCUCUGCCAAAGGUUUGUUUAACAAUGGUUAUGUGAUGUGUAAAUGGUUUGUUUAAGAUAUUCAUAGGAGUAUUUUGUUUGAUUGAGUUGUUUAAAAUGAUAUUGUAUUGUGCCAAGUCCAUGUAAUGUUGUAAUGAAAAGAGGUUGUCAAUGAAUGAAUCAAACCCUUCUGUCAAAAAAUUUCAAUCAAAUUGGUCCUUGAAUUAUAUGCAUAUCCAUCAUAUCGAUCCUAAAAUUAGUGAUAAUACCAUCAAAUAGGUCCUUGAAUUUUCACAACAGAUAUCACUGUGAUCCUUGGUGCAUAUAUUUGCUGAACAAAGUAAAAAGUAAAAGACAUGCACUUUGACUAUAAAAAGACAGACAUUUGCAUACCAUCAUAAGUCAUAUAUUUGAUGUUCAUAAGUCAUUACAUAGCCAAAAAAAUAACAUUACAUAGCCAUAAAGUCAUCAAAUCGUUUGAUGUUCUUAAGUGAUUACAUAUCUGUUAUCACGAUUUUGGGGUAUCAAGUCAUUAAUUAGGCUUGAACCUUUCAAUCUUUGAUAUUCUCUAUUUUUUCUUGGGAAGGGAAAAAUUGAGAAAACCCUUAGAAAUUCUAAGUUCGGGGGUCGUUUUCGUUACGGGAAGGUGUUAGGAACCCGCAAUGACUAUAGUACUCUAUAGGAACCGUUUUCUUAGUUUUAUGUCUACGCUUUAUUUUUAAUGCUAUUUAUUGAAAAAAGAAGUUGUUUAUUUAGGUUAAGAAUGGAGGGAGAAAAUGUUUGGGAUUUUAUUUAUUGGACUUGGAGAGGUUUUGACCUCUUGCCUACAUACCCUUUUAAGGGAUCAAAAUUCCAUGUAGUUCUCUUUAAAAAAUGUUUUUGUGUGUUUGAUUGAUUUUAAGUUUUGGAAAAUGGUUUUGAAGAAGAGAAAGAGGCCGUAAAGGCAUGAGAGAAAAAAAUGGUGAAAGGUUGGUUCAAUUAUUAUUAAAAAAGGUCUAAGUUGGAAUUAGAGUUCAUUUGAGUUUGAUUAAGAAAAUAAAGGGAAAAUUCAAUGGAGUUUUGACUCCAAGGUUUAUUUGGAAAUUUUUUUCAAGUGAUGGAAUUUGCUUAUUUUGGAAAAUUGAUAUUUUUCUAAGUAUCGCGUUUCCUAAGCAUACAUCUAAAGCGGUAAACAUACAACGUGUGUGCGUGUCGGUGCUUGUGUCGGUGUACAUCAUUAGAGAGUCCAUUGUCCGUUACAUUGGCCCUAGUUUACAUUCUAUGGUCUUGCAAGAAAUUAAAAGGAAAUUUAAACUACCUAAAAUAUUAUAUGACAUUUUAACAUAGAAAUUAAAAGGUAAAAAUGCCUAAACUAUGAGAAAUUGAGAUGAAAAAGGUAGAAUGCUUAUGAGGUGAAUGAAACAAGAAAUAAAAUGGUUAGUAAAAUAAGGUGUAAAAUGAUAGGAAACAAGCAAGGAAACAUUGAAUGGAAUAGCAAAAAAGAGAGUAAUAAAGUGGUAAAAUAUGCCCAAAACUUGUCAUAAUACCUAAACAUGUACACGACCUAUAAUUCUCUCAUCAUAGCAAUUUAAAAGGGGGUUUAUUUUAUACCAUAAUGUGAGAAUGACAAGAACACAUUCAAGCCAAGAAUUAUGACAUAUUUCUAGAGAUACUUUGCACUUUAUUUCUUGACAAAAACACACAUUACUUGCAAAACAAGAAAAAAAGAAAAAUUCACAUCCACAAACAGUAAAACACACAUAUGAUCAGAGACAUAUUCAUCAUGAAAUUGCAUAUUAACCACUCAUAUCAUGUCAAGACCUCAUGAACGAAUUAUGGCAAGAAAAUUCACAAGUUUAAUAAAAAAAAAUGAACAUAUCAACAAGAAAAUGUUACAUAUAUUUUUUUAUCAUUUUUUAACAUGUAAAAGCAUCACAAAAGUAUUAAAAAUACCUCAAGAAACAUAUAGGAAUUUUUAGGAAUUUUUUGCACGAAAAUUGGACGAGCAGGGGGUUCAGAUAGCAAGAAACAGGGUGCAAAUAGCAAGAAAUAAGAAAAAAAAAGCAGAAACAAACAAACUGGAAGCCCAAGCCCAAAACCCAUGGAUCCGGAUGCACAAGGAGCGUUGGAUUGAUCCAGGAAGAGAAACCCUAGAUCUAAAGGCUCAGAAUGAAGGGGAAGAACCGGGAAUAAACCCGACCGGUUCAGUUGUUUAUAAAAAGGCUUGGGGACCGGUUUUUUUCAUUUCUUCCUCUCCUUUCUCUCUCUUCUCUCAUUCUAGUGAGAGAAGCUCUCACUUCUCUCCUUUCUGAUGAAUUAGGUUCUGGAAAAGUUAGGGUUUUCUGAAUGUUCUUGGUAAUUUUCUGUUUUGAUCUAACUAAAUGGAGAGAGAAAAUGUGAUUCUGUUUUUGGUGAUGUGACUGAUUCUGUGGAUCCUUUCUGAUUUGUGCAGUGAAUGCACCUUUUAUAGGCUGCCAUGUGUGAUUCUGAACCAAUGGAAGAGGAACACCUGUUUUGGACUUAGGGACUUUCCUGCAAAAAUAAGAAAAUUGGAGGACUGGACUGCAAAUAAGAAAAAGGACCUAAAAAUGCAAUUUUAAAAAGUAUUGGACUAAAAUGUAAUUUGGAAAAAACGUAAAGUGAAACCAAAAAUAAAAUCAACAAAAGGACUAAAAUGAACCAGUUACAAAAAAUGAGGUAUUUUAAAAUACCUCUCUGUCGAAAUUUUGACAGGAAAAGACCAAAAAUACCCCUAGGGACUAAACUGACUCAAACUGACUCAGAUGCAAUUUUUGAAAUGGUUUUUAAACAGAGAUUCAACAAUGAUUUGUACAGACAAGUUGAAAAGACUCAGAGGCAAACACAGGGACUAAAAUGGGUUCCAAUGCGGGAAAUGACCAAAAUACCCUUUUUGUAUGAUUUUUUGAAAUAAAAUGCAAGAAAAGCAAUGCAAUGAUUCAGAGAGUUUUCAAAUGACUUGUAAUGCAAGAAAGACACUUUGGGUAGUUUUAUUCAAGAAAAUCAUGAUUGAACAUACUUCGAGACAGAGACAGUAAAAUAUGCAGAUGAAAAGAGAGUAAAGGUUCGGAGUAAAAUAAUAGUAAAUUGACAAAUAUCAGUGUUGAAAAAGAAAUUUGAAUGAGUAUUUUUAGGUCCAAAAUCAGGGUAUAACAAUAUCCAAAAAAGCAUAAACUAAACAAGUCCAAAAAGCAUAAUUUAAACAAGCAUCAAUGCUUUGGAAAUCCUGAAGUUGGGUAUAAACUCCAUGUAUUGGGGUUGAGUAGAAGCGGAUGACCCGUAAUUUGGAUUUGGAACUCUAAUAACUCUAGGAGUAGUUAGAUUUUGUGGAGCAAGACCCCUCAAUGAUGUUUGUUUAUGCAUGUCAUUUGAAAUCACAGGUCAUCUCAUGCCAUAUCUUCUUGUACUCAUUCUCUGCAAAUAAAAUCAAUCAUAUCCGUCCUUAAAUUAUAACAAAAUCCAUCAAAUUAGUCCUCAAAUUAUGUCAGUAAGUCUCAAAUCGAUCCUUAUGUAAUAGCGGGGUAUAAUUGGAACACAUGAAAAAUUACACUGAAAAGUUAAAUCUCAAAUUUUUACCAUUUCCAUCAAAUUAGUCCUUGUACACGUGGUUGCCUUGUUGACACGUGUACAUGACAACACAACAUGCAAGAGGACACGUCAUCACCACUAACGGAGCUUUUGGACGGAGGGACCAUUUUGAUGGACGUCUGUAAAAUUCAAGGACUAAAUAGAUAUUUCGCAAAAUUGAGAGACGAAUUUGACCAAUUUUUUAAAAUUCAAGGACGAAAUUGAGGUAUCAGUCCAUUCAAUGUUAUACAAAAGUCUGAAAAAUAAAACACACAACACACGCGUUCCUUUUUCCCAGUGUUUUCUUCUUCUUCUUCCUCUUAUCAUCAUCACCACCGCCAACCCUCUCCCUCAAUCCACCGACGUUCUACCCCGUAUGUUCCAUGUCUUUUCUACUUUAACCGUCAUAUUUCUCCUCUCAUACUUCGCCGUCGUCGAUUCCACUGCCACUUUCUUUCCAUCGCCACGGGAAUAAUGAGAUUAAGCGCGAGAGUGAUCGACCUAAACUUAUUCCCUCUCUCCAGGUACUCAAUCUGUUAACUUUGAUGUUAGUUCAUACAAAUUUGCAUGUAACAAAUUUGUAUAAGAACAGGCAUAGACUUCUUAACCAAUCAAAUAAACUGCUCAAUCAAAGCUUACUCAAUUUUAUUGUAAAAGAAGAAAUAGAAAAUUUAGGUGGUUUGAAAUGUAAGAUCCAACAUAUGUUAGAUAUGAAAUUACUGUUGUGCUUUGAUGAUUUUUUCUCCUGAUUCCAAAAAUAUAGUUUUAAGCCAAUUUAUGGCAUUGAGUGAUUUGAUUUUCUGUUUCUUUUUUGUCUCAUUGGUUCUAAGUUGGAUGAGAAAUUAGUGGCCACAGAAAGAAGAAUGAAAUAUAAGUUAAUUAACAUUUUUUCAAUAACUUUGAAUUUUUGCUGAUUUUUCUUUAACUAUUGUUUUCUAAUACCAUUUGAAGUAGUCGUUUUUAUUAGAUUAUGUCAUUGCUACAAAAUUUUCUCUAUAUGGGUUCAUGUUGAUUUUGAAAUGAUUGCAAAUUUGUGUAUAAGCAUCUGUAUGCAAACCUCUCUUUUAAGAGCACUAUUUUUUGUUCCGGCUUUGUGUUUUUUGCGGAUGUGCUUAUGAUUUGUGCAGCUACAGGUUUGUUACUUACAGAGCUUUCCAAAUGUGGUAUGUUGCUUUGUUCAUUUAGUGGUUGAGAAUGAAAUUAGUUUGCACUCCCUGAGAAAAUAGCUCUCUAAACUGAAGUUCCCAUAAUCUCUUAUGAUCAUUGUACACACCAAAUCUCUUACCCUAAGUCAAAUUUACUGUACUGAGUAGAAAUUAUCUAUUCUUUCAUUAAUAUUGAAAAAUCUUUCAUCCCUUCAACAUUGUUUCUGAGUAUGAUGUUACCAGUGAAUUUUUGGUAUGUUCCUUACCAAUUCACAUUUUUUAUUGUUACUUUUAUUGGACAAAAUUACUUCUUGCGUCUAUUCUUCCCUGAUUCAUAGAAGUUGUUCUACAAUGGUUUUUGUGAAUUUGCAUUGGAUAAGAGGACCACGGCCAUGGUGGUCAUAGCACAAUUGCGACAACAAGUGGAAUUGCACUCUUAUUUUUGGAUCUAUGUCAUACAAUCAUAAUUGGUGGUGGUGAGUGGAAGAGCAUGAUUGAGUGCAGAAUUUUUGAAGGUGUACGUUUCAAGCUGGGUGAUCAGAUGGUCGGCAAAAGUGAAAUUGUUUACCUUCAUGUCUAUCGAGAUUUCAGUUUUUAAGCUGGGGUCUUCAUAUGAAUUUCCAUUUUGAAUAUUGUUUCUAUUGUAAUCUGCCAAUUAUCAGAAUUGUGUUAGAUAAGUUUGAGUCUAAUGUGUUCAGCUCCACUGUGUAAUCUGUUUCUGUAUUUCAUUUUCAAUAGAAUCCAAUUAAAACAACUUAUUCUGCUUGCUUAAUUAUCAUCUCCAAUCUGCACAAGUAAUACUAUAAACAGGGUCAUAUUAUUCUAUUGAAAUUGAAAUACGGAAACAUAUUACAAAGAAAAUGACUAAAGGCGGUGUAUAAAGAAGUUUUUCGCAAUUUAUGAAUUGUUCGGUGCUGAUGAAAUAAAGGUGUUGCCGUUUUGUUAGUCUGCCAUCGAUGUAAGUAUGUACUGUAUUUAUAUUAGUCGUUAAUAAAUGUCUUAAUAAUGGUCGUCAAACCUAACCCAUCAGUGUGUUGCUUAAUUUGUUUUUACAGAUUUGUUUGACCUGACUGUAGCAUUUGCCAUCAUAUCUGAAACGCAUAAAUUCAUGUUUUACUGUAUACUCGGUGAUCAAUCCUUCUGUCUAUAUGAAAAGGCUUGAUGUAUACUGGUACGGUGAUUAAAUUUUCGCAUAAAUCAGUUCUUCUCAUAUUAUAAAUAACUUAUAAUAAGGAUUGCAGCAACUAAUGCUUCAAUUUUAUGCUGUCUUUGUUUUUCUUCGCAGGUUGAGCACAAUUAAGGCAUUGCAUUUUUGGAGAUCGUUAUCAUUGUUAUACCAUUAUUAUCUUUGCUAAUAUAUGCUCCUAAUUGUUUAAGAAUUUCAUCUCUGGUCCAUACUGACGGUUUAUUACUGAUAUCAAUGGCACCAAUCUCAAUUGAUACUAUGUAUCACAUUAUCACCAACAAAGGUGUAACUUGGUUAUCAUUAUGAUCCAUUUCUGAUUCCGUAAUUAUACUAUAUCCAAGUUCGUUGUUAACUUAUUACAAAUAAUUUGUCGUUUAGAAGAAUAUUAACCACAAAUUACUCAUAGUGAUUUAUCGUUAUGAAAAUACAUAUAGAGAAUAUGAAAAUUUACGUAGUAUAUUGACUGAGCCUCAAUUUAUUUUGAAUUUUUCACCGAAACACAUAAAAUCACAAUAUUUUUGCAACUUCACAUCCGAAAAAGUUAUAUAGACGUUGAAUUUUUUCGUUAUUUUUUGCACAUAUGUUAAGGACAUAAAAAAACAUUUCCCACAAAAAAUUAGAAUUUUCCGACAACGGAUGGAUUAAUUAUGAAUUUUUAAUGCGCCAAAAACUCAAGAAACUAAAACAUCAAAAGAUCGACUUAGAAAUUGAAUUUUGAGUUGGUUUUUUGCACACAACUCUAUAAAAAUACAUAUAGAGGGUCUGUAAAUUUUCAUGGAAUUCCAAAUAAGCUUCAAUUUAUUUUGAUUUUUCGACCGAAACGCGUAAAAUCACAAUUGAUUCUCUUCCAGAAACUGCACUUAAGUGCAACAAAAUCAGCUGUAGUUAACUGCAACUGAAGCCAGCGGUAGUUAACUACAGCUGAGAGUCAGCAGUAGUUAACUACCGUUGGGGGAAAUUUCAUAACUUAAAUGUGUUUUUAGGAAUUUUUUGAUGUGAGAAAAACAAUUUUCAAAAGUAUAUGUUUUUUAAAAUAAAAGAGGGCAUAAGACCAUAAAAGGCACUGAUACGAUGACCUUUAACACCAGUUUGAUCAACUAAGACCAACCACAAUGGUGAGGUCUUAACAAUUUAAGAUCCGGUACCUAUUAGGUACCUCCAUUGUGGGAAAAAUAUUUGGGGGUCUCUUAAGACCCUCAUUUUUAAGUGGACCCCACACAACUUUUUAAUAAAAUAAUCAUUGUUUAGUUACUUUUGUUUAAAUGUAAAUGAUAAAGAGUUAUUGGUGGGUCCCAUUUAGACCUUUUGUUAGAGCGUCUCUGUUGGAGUGGUUGAGUACCUAUUAGGUACUAUCAUUAAAAAAUUAUAAAAAAAUGAUUUGUCAAUGUGGAAUCCGUUUAAGACCUCAAGAUUGAGGAUCUCCAUUGUAGAUCACAUGCAUGUCUAUUGCAUGAGUGCAUCUUCCAAAGAUUCAAAGUCUUCAUUUACAUGAAAUUUUCAUUCAGCUUUCAACAUUCAUAAGCACUUAAUGAAUUAACGACCAAUAUAUUGGAUGCAUGUUGUUUUGAAUAUGCCCUUAAUAAAGAUGAAAAGGAGAAAGAUGAACUUGAACUCAUCAUUUUUACAGCCGUUAAAAUAGCAUACAUGAUUUGCUUUUGCUACUUGUCUAAAUUUUAUCUAAACACCUAAUUAUGAUGGUUGCCAAACACAUUCAAACAUUUAUGUUAGUAACAAUUUUAUAAGCAUGGCAUUUUUAGGGUUGUAUGGCCCAAAAGUCCUAAACCAAAUGGCUUUCACCAUUUCUCAUGCGUCCUCCUAAAUUUCAAAACUGCCCUCAGAUUUUCGGAUUAUACAAUAUGCUACUCUUAUUUUCAACUCUUCCUUUGAGGUCCAACUCGAUUAGUCUCUUCAGUGGUUCAGUUGUGAUUUUUCCUCUUAAGUCCAACUAGAUUAGUCUCUUUAGCGGUCCAGUUAUAAAGUCGAUUUGUGACAAUACCUUAUAUGCAUCUAUGUUAGGAUUGAUACGAGCUGUUAGUAGGUUCUGAUACCAUGUUGGAUGGAGGAAUGUUUUACAUAUUGAGCUUUAGUUGUUUCAAGGGGCACUCAACAUGGAAAGGAUAUUGAAGCUUUGCAGAAAAGUUUGGACAAUGCUGAGUAAGGUUCAUAUACAAACAUGUCUAAUUUUCUAACAUAAUUACAUUUUAAGAGUGAUUUUCAAAUCAACUAAUAUUUAACAUUAUGGUUCUAAAGUUGGUGAACUAUGACAUAAAACUUUAACAUUGUUUGUGGUUUCUAGAAGAAUCAAUUUGGUUACAUAACAUGAAAAAUGGUUACCAUAAGACAAGGAGAAAGAAUAAGCAUGUAUCUUUACACUCGCAACAAAGAAACACACCAACUUUGGCCAUUGCAGAAGAUUAUGGUUAGACUCAGACAGUCAAAUAUAGGUUUGACGCCAUCGAAGUAAUCGGCAUUUCAACCUUAGGUUGUGUUUCAGAGUUUUGAAGAGAUUAUCAGAAUUCUAUUCACUUUGUUUUCUUGUCAAAUCUUAAUUGUUAGUGCUAAUUGAUGGUCUUAUCAUGAAAAUUAUAAAUCAAACCUAAAUAAAAACGAAUAAUAAGAACAUGUUCAUGUACCGAACUGAUAAGUAGCAAGAAAGUGAAAUAAAGAAAACACAAUGAUCUAAACUUAUCAUUGAAAAACAUCACAGAAAACACAAUGUUUGUUUCUUCAUUUUAAUUCUAACGAAUGUCUAAUUUUGGAAUGUGUGCUAUCUUAUCCCAGUCCACCCUUGUUCCCUCCUUGCAUCGCUCAUCUAAUCCUCCAGAAAAACAUAAUUAAUCAGCAAGAGUAUCAUGCAAAACCCCAAAACAGUUAAAAAGGUGCACAUGCACUUAACAAACUCAUCAUCAUUUUCUCUUCCAUAAUUCCCUUCCUUGUUUGUACCACUUUGUCCUUGAAAGAAUUCACAAUUACCUUUGCUAACUGAAUUAUUGCUUAUUGUGAAAAACAAAAAUAUCUCAAAGUUAUCUUAUGUGAACCAAAUACAAAACCAGUAAUUAAUAAUAUCAUAACAACAACAAAUUACAAAUUUGAUGUAUCAUUUUAAACUGAGUGAAAAACAUGAAAAAACAAAAGUCAUUGAAAGAGACAGAAAAUUUAUAUGCUAAAAGGGCAUUAUAAGGCUCUAAGACAGAUUUUAGAUGUCUGUUUUUCUCUCCCAUUGCUGCUCCAACUCUCUGCAGAAGUAUAUUACUGGAAGACAGAAGACAAACUAACAUGUGCUGCAAAACCACCAUAGUGAAGAGACAAGAGUGUCAUAUCCUGCAAACACAGUACAAAAUAUUGUUACUAUACUAUAAGAAACAAAAUCAAAAAAGGGUGAUGGUGGAAGAGAGAGCCUACCAAAUGUGAUAGAAAUUGGAAGCAUAUAUGUGUGUGCUUUUUCAUUCAAUCAACAUGUAAUUUUGGAAUGUGCGCUAUCUUGUCCCAGUCCUCACCGGUUCCUUUCUUCAAUCGCUCCUUUAAUGUUGGGCAACCUCGAAUUUUCAAAAACUCAAGUGAAGUGAGGUGUUGAAUAGAUUCGGGAAAGGAUCUCAAUCCUCCACAAUAACCAAUAUCAAUAGUUCGAAGAGAUCGAAGACCUUCCCAUGUUUGUUCCGGUAUAGACUCAAGCUCACCACAAGAAGAGAUACUCAGACACUCCAACACUAGGUUGAAGGGUUCAUUUGGUAGUUUCUUCAAUUUUGGGAAAUUAGAAAUUUUCAAACUUCGAAGACAAGUCAAGUUUCUUAACAAACCGUCAGGAAAGCAAAUCACGUCUUCACCGUUAAGAAGGUGAAGGGUGGUAAGACUACAGAAAUUGGAGAUUGAUCUCAGUAACUCAUUGUUACAUCCAAAUACAAUGAGGUCUUUAAGGGAUGGAAGGCAUGGCAACACAAGUUUAGGGCAAUCAAUAAUGGUCAAAUUAGAAAGAAGAAGGAACAUAUCUCUUAUUUGCACUUUCAACAAACGCUCUAAGUUUCGUAGUCCUGCUAGUAACAAUUUUUCCAAGGAUGGAAAAGCCCUCACCUCUACACCAUCAUGAUAUUCAGCAUCAUCCAUGUAUUGCAUAUUAUUCAUACCCCAUAAUUCAAGCUUUUUUAGAGAUGGUAGUUUACCUAGUGAUGAAAGAACACAAUUAUUGCAAUACUGAAGUUGAAGAUCAACUAAACUAUUAAGAAAUCCAAUCCAUUUUGGCAAGCAUAAUCCGUCAUAGUAAAGUAUUUUCAACCUCUUGAGAUUUGAGUGAGGUUGAAGCAUUUCAAGUACUUGCUCAGCAGUAGUAGUUGGUGUCUCAGUUUCACCAUUAUUCCUCCAUGACAAGGAUAAUUCUUGGAGGUCCUUUUUACCCAUCAAAUUGGCAUGUCGAGCUUCAAAUAAGCUACCAACAUUUCCCAGACCUUGUAUGCUCAGUUUUCCUCCAAGUGAUAGAUCAUGUAGCUCUCCCAAGCCAUACCCCCUCUCUGACUGAACAAUGUAUACACUUAAUGUUCUUAGGAAAUACAAUUUUCCAAUAUAAGGAAACACACAAGACAAUGAAUUACAAUCUUCAAUGACAAGAUGCCUGAGAUUCUGUAAACAAGUCAAGUGUUUUGGUAGAAAAGUCAGUUUUCGAAAAUAUUUCAAUUUCAAGAUUUCCAAUUUCUGCAAGCGAUAAAUUGAGUCAGGAAGGGUUUCUACGUCAAGAUCACGAAGCUCCAAAUACCUCAAAUGAAUUAAGUUCCCAAGUGACGAUAACUUGAAAGUGUUUGUGCUUAAAACUCGAAGGGAGCGAUUUGUUGGGAAGUAAUCGUAUUCUUUUUCGCUGUAAAACUCUAGUUGAUACAACGUUCGCAAGGAUUCAACUUUUUUGAAGGCCUCAUUGAAGGAAAACAAGUUAAUAUCAGAGUAAAAGCUAGUAUGGUGUGUGCUUCUUAACAAGUUAGUGUUAGUAUUCUCCAAAAUCAUACACUCUGACCCCAUAACUGAUUGAGCAAGAUCAUGCACUAGGUCAUGCAUCUUGAAAGUAAUGUCUCCUGAAUAAUCAUCUAUCUUGAUGUCUUGGAAGAAUGAUUUUUGGCACAGUUCCUUCCAAAUCAUAUUGCCAAAAAAUUCUACAUCCAAAUUAGCCUUUGAGAAAAUAAAUCCAUUGCCCAUCCAUAGAUGAAUCAAAUCUUCCUUUACAAUUUCCAUAUCUUUGGGAAAUAUCGCACAAAAAGCAAAACACCGCUUUAAGGUCGGUGUUAAAUGAAAGUAGCUUAACCUCAAGGCUGGCAAAAUGGAAUUCUCAUAUGGUAAGGUCCAGAGAUUACUGUCUUUAAUUUCAAGCCAUUCAUUUUCAUCACUCCUUGAGCGCAUUAGACCUCCCAAUGCUUGUGCUGCAAGAGGCAAUCCUCCACACUUCUUUACUAUCGCCUUACCUAUUGCUACAAGCUCUUCCCGUUCUUCUCCAGCACAUCCAAAUGCAUAUUGUCUAAACAACAACCAACAUUCGUUUUCAGAGAGACCAGAUAAAUGAUGAGCUAAACAUGUUCCCAUGAUUUCUGCAACAUCCUUAUCACGAGUGGAAACUAAAAUGGAAGAUCCUUUGGAUCCACAUGACAACGCAGAUUUCAACUUGUUCCAUUUGUCUUGGCUUAAUCCUAGUUCCAAUCCUUGAUUUCUGCUCCAUACAUCAUCCAAAACCAGCAAAAAUCUUUUACCUUGCAAUAGUUCUCGUGCUUUUCUUUGUAUUACAUCUAAAUCCAAGGCAUCAAACUUGUCUUUUGUGAUAGAUUCUAUAAUGGAACACAAAAUCCUUUUGACAGAGAAAGUCUCCGAAACACAAAUCCAAACUUUUGUAUUAAAAUUGCUACUUACCCUAUGAUCAUUGUAGACCAUUUGAGCAAGUGUUGUUUUACCAACACCACCUAGGCCAACAAUAGGAUAGAUGGAUAGGAAGUCAGAUACUUGCGCUUGGGUGAGAAGAAACUCGACAAUCCUCUCUCUAUCAUCUACUCGUCCAAACACUUUGGGUUCAGCAAUAAUGGAGCUUGUUUGGCGCCAUUCAGCAACUUCAUUUGGCCUUUCCCUAACAACGACACCCUCUCGUAAAAGAAACUUGUCUUUACUUUCAGCAAUUUGAUCGAAUCUCCUUGUAAUUUCUUUCAACCUUUUGCCGAUGUCACGGCGAAACACAAUGUUCUUUAGGUUGAAACAGGACGAGGCUUUAAGUCUACUAGAUUCAAUGGAACAUUCAUCAAGAAUAUCAUCAAGCACAUAUACAGCAUCUUUGAGUUGUUGGAGCCAUACCUUAAUAGAGCGGUCUGUGACCUGUUUCUGCUCAGCAUCUUCAAGAACAGCCUUGAUCAGAUCCAAGGUGGUUGACAACUUUUCAGCCUUUGAUGUGAUUCCAGAAAUGGUUGCAAAUUCAUUUUGAACAAGAGAUAACAAAUUCUCAAAUACAACUCCUAGCAAGGCCUCUGCCAUUUUUAGUUAGUACUAGGAAUAUCGGCUGUUAGGUGAUCAGUUGGAAAUUAUGAAGGAAAAUAAAACAAAAUGCAGAUUUGAUUCAAUUUAGAGCAACAUCCACUAAGCACUGGGGUGAUAGUGCUAGGACCCACACUUUAAAUUUAAUGUCAUUAUUAUGGAUCCAUUGUUGACUUUUGUUUCUUUUUUUUUUUCCUACCAUUUCAUACAGAAAUAAAAAACAGUCAUAUAAUCUAUCUUGGCUAUUUCUCAAAACGUAAAGUUCUUACUUGCCCUUUGAAAGAACAAGCAAGCCAAAUCUCCAUAUAAAAGUCUAUAAAUAAAUUUGAUUCCAAUGAAGAAAAGUUCUGAAGGGUUAAAAAAGAAAAAUAUAAAAUUAUCUACAAAAACAGAUACACUAUUUGAAGGAAAUUUUCAUAUUUUUAGUCAAUAGGAAUCGAACUCGGUACCAAGUGGUUUAUAACAGUCAAUAGCGUGCAUGACAUAUCAAUGAGUUUUUCAUCAGAGCAUAAUUUUUAGCUAUGAAGAAUAUUACAAUAACAUGAAAACAUUUUGACUGCAACGAUACCUUGCUUAUGUGAUACUCUAUUAUCAUAGGCAUAAAAGAAUUAACUUCGAAAAAUUUUCUUAAAUUUCAUUAAACUGGCUUUCAUGUAUUUGGCCUUUAGGAAACAUAAUUAAAUUUGGUAUUAACCCUACACAAGAGAAGUGUAACCAUAUAUAUUUGUUGAGUUUUACAAGUUAAUGUAUGUGUUUAAAUGAAUGUUAAUUGGACGGAAAUACAGCGCACGAGUAUCAUGUAUAAUUAAGUACAACAUUGGUUCUCAAAUUUUGCUUGCAAUCUGGAAUUUUUACCAGAUAAUUGAAGCGAAAAAUAAAGUAAAAGAACAGAAUAAUAUGCACAAAAAAGUACUGUUUUUUUUACUUCAAUUAAAAAUUAAUUAUAAUGUGCAAAAAACUUAAAUCAGUUUAGAGAGGGGAAAUUAGAGAGGUUGGUAUGGUAACAUAGAAAGCGUAAAACUAGACCUAAUCAUGUUAAUUAAAUAAAAAAUUAAAUAAAAAAUCUUCUGCUGCUUAAGUAAAAAAUUAAGCAAGACUGGAGUAUCAUAUAAAACCCAAAACAAGAACAUUGUAUGACCAAUGUUUCUACUUUCCUUGUACUAGACAAGUCCAAUGAACUUUGUUUAUUGUUUUUGGUAAGACUUGCUGAACUUUGUUGAUUUCAUGAUGAUUAUGAUUGGCAUCUGGCAAAUAAGACUUCUGAUUUUAACUAGUUGCAAAGCUUCAUACUCAUUCUGAUAGAUUGUUUCCUGAAAUUUGUUUCUGGUCUGAUAGCUAUCCGUCAAUAUUUACCUCCAACCUGGGAACGAAUCUACCACAUUGUCUUUAAUUUGAAAGAGCUAUGCUAAUUGAACUAUUGUGAAGAAUAAAUAUAUAAAGGCAUAAUAAGGCUCUAAGAAAGAUUCUGAAGUCUGCCUCCUAUCCACAAGCUACUACAACUCACAGCAGAAGUGUCACUAUUUACAUCACUGCAUUACCUUUUUGAUUGAUUUUAAUAUUACAACAGACGACUGAGAUGAUUUAAGUUAGCAUAGCUCUCAAGAUGAGAAAAACCACAAAAAUUGUGCAUAACCAUGUAUUCUUUGGUACAAUCGUUCAAUUAAUAAGUAUUUCAGAGAUUUGAGAGAUUGAGAAUUCUAUUAACUUUGUUUUAUGUCAGAUCCUAAUUAUUGUCAUGAAUUAUUCAUAGCAAGUUCAUUUACUGAACAGAUAAGAAACAAGAAUUUGAAAUAAAAUAAGGAUGAGUUCUUAAAUAUAUUUGGUAAAAACUAAAUUGUGAAGGUAAUCAAUAUUAUAAAUCCUUAAGAUGAAGUCCUUUCUUAAGGAUCAUUCAUGUGUGCUGAUGAUAAUGAACUCAAGUUGGCUGAGACUUCAUCUGUUGCUUUUUUUUUCGGACAACUGUUGCACCGGACUAUUCAUUACUCCUCAAGUCCUCUGUGGUGUGUUUGUGUUGCUUAGUGGGUGGUUACAUAUAUGGUAUAUAUUUCUCUACCCCCUUCCAUUUACUAUAUUUUGCUACCCCAAGUUAUUCACAUCAUUGAUAAUUUGUGCCUUGUUUAUUGAAUUCUUUGUGUGGUUACAUUUCUGUUGACAAGUGAAUUUUAUAAAUGACAAAAAUCACGUAGUCACUGAUUUUAGCUUCCAUAAGGCAAUAAUUUGAUCAAGUAUGAAUUCAAAAAAGCAUUUAUCCCUUUUAAAUAAAUAAUGUAUGUACACUGUUUGGAAUAACCAAGACACAAAAUGUCUGAUUAUAAGCUCACUAACAAAAAACUACACUAGAGAAAUGGGAAAGAGAUUAAUAUAAAGAAUCACUUAUGUUAGCAACAUUAGUACUAGUAGAUAUUGUAAAAUCAAGGACAACCUCCUAAGGCUUAGGAGAAGCUAUAUAUAACUCUUUCAACAUCUGUUAUUAGUUGGAAUUAAGUUCGGCUCAUGUGUUGGAUCACCGCUGUCAACAUCCUCUCGUUUCAUGCCAACCAUAUCAAUUUUUCUCAUUAUUUGUGAUUUCCAUUGCUUCAUUUGAUGGACUAAUAGAUUUUUCACUGCUUUCUUUGGAGAUUGAUUUUUCAGGCCAAAAUACAUUCAAUCCAUUACCUGUAUGUAUGACCAAAAUACAUUCAAUUCCUUUAUCAAAUCUUACCAUACAUCUAAAUAUGUUUGGUGAAAAAAAUGAUGUGUGAAGGUAAUUAGUAUUAUAAAGUCCUGAAGCAUGCAAUAAAAAGAAAGCCGACUGAAGUUUCUAUAUGUUAAAAUCAAACUGAAAGUUUCUAUAUGUGUGUUAAAAUCAAUCAAUUUGAUAAGGCAGAAAAUGCAUAUUAAAGUAUUCGCUAAGAUAUGAACUAUGUUUACCUGGAAACCAACGAUAACCAGUAAAGAGAUAUCAGUUAAAGGAAAUUGAAAUCUUCAGCAGCAAACAUCACUCCUAAAAUAUGCUCAACAACGUCGCCAAUUCUGGCUAUUGGUGUUUCCCCUGAUCGAACUUGAAACUCCAACUUUCCAUAAAUAUUUCAUACAUGAAGGGACUAUUUCAUAAAUGAAGGAUCAUAACCUGCAUAUUUUCAUGAACACGUGAAAUUAAAUUGAAAUCUAGUAGUAUAUGGAGUUGAACAUCUUAAUACUAUAGGAAUUGAAGAUCUAUACCAUAUCAAUACUAUGAAGGAUCAUAAGGAAGUGGAGACGCCAUAACGAUAAUCUGACCCAUUAGGUUGACAUCUUUAAUUGAUUUCGUCUCAGACAAAAAUCACAAGUUUCACAUAAAUGAAUUCAAAGAUGUCUUCUUCAUUCCAAUAAACAAUUUUUGGAAUAUGUGGUAUCCUGUCACAUUCCUCUCCUGCUCUCUCCUUACACUCCUUUAAUUUUAGGCAACCACGGAUACUCAUAAACUCAAGUGAAGUGAGGUGUCAAAUACCUUCUGGAAAGGAUCUCAAUCCUCGCAUUCAACAAUAUCCAUAGUUCAAAGAGAAAUAAAUGGCUCCUGUUCAGUUUCACAGGAGAUGCUCUCUGUAAGUGAUAUGACUAAUGCUAAUCUACUAAAAUAUAUGGAGUUAAAAGAUGCAAAAUUCACUUUGUUAUCAAAUAAAACAUUUGAUUUCUCAUUCAUAUCAUCCGAAAUUAUCACCUCUUAUAGUUUCUGUGGUUCAGCUGAAGCAUCCUCUUGCUUUCAGGAAAAGCAGUGGUCCGACACAAAUAUGGUUGGGAUUCAGCAGCAUUCCACAACAUAUCUGACACAAACAUAAUGAAAUAACAUGAGUGACUCGACUAGAAUCAUGAAUUACAAUGUCACCUUCCUAAUAAAGAGCUGUAUACACACCUGCAGAUUUUCUGUCUUUGGUUGGUAACAAUGACAGACACAUGGCAUCAUUUCUCACAAUAUUUACCAACACACGAGAAUUAUAAUAUGCAUUGGUUGUGACAAAAUGCUCUAGAUUGUUAUUGAUGUCGAUGAUAGUUUUACCCGGAGUAUUAUACACAUGUUGAUCUUGGCUUCCCUCACUCAAAAGAUGUUUUAACAACUAUGUAACAAGUGGUUCCUGCACAUAGAAAUUAAACUAAGACAAUAAUAUUGUUAUAAUGAUGUAAAAGAGACAAAGAAGCUUUAAAAAAUUGUUCCGACUAGAAAUUACACUCAGCCAUCAAAUUGAAACAUGCAAUUAUAGAUUUCAAUACCACAAAUAAAAAAAGGGAUAUUCAGAAACGUCAAAUAAGGAAACCAUAGUCAAGAGACAUGAGAGGCAUAUCCUGCAAAUAGAGUACCAAGAGAUUGUUAUGAAACACAGUCAAAAGAAAUAAAGAUGGAGGCAGAAACACCAACAUCUCUGUUUUUUGAUUCCUGUUGAAAUCAGUAGCAGAAACAUCACCUGCCAAAGAGUGAGCCAAACAAUAUAUAUUAUUCAAAUAAACAAUCUAAAACAAAUAAAUAAGAAUGACCAAUAAAAACUUAAGAAUAAAAAUCGAGAAAACCUUGACACCGAUCAGACUUUGCUAAUGGGUACGGAGCUCUGACCCAUUGUCACUUCCUCCACUCCAAAAGACUGCGUCUUCGUCAUUGGGUAUGUUUGUUCCAUUAAUCCCGUUAUUUGUCUUGUGUGUCGACGCCAAUCCUAACCAUUCAAUUAAAUCCCCACAAAAUCAGUAAAAUUAAAAAAAAAAAUCCAAAAUUCAAAUUAAAAAAAAUUAAACUAUGAUGAAGAAAAUGACCUGAAUUAGAACAUUUGUAACUUUAGUUGAGCAGUGAAAUAUCUUUCAUGUAGUCUGGAUCUCUUCCUGCGGAAUGGGUUCCAAAUAAGUCAACAACGAGAAUAAAAAUAAAGAUUUUUGAGCAGUUGAAAUCCAAACAUAAGAAGGGGAAAUUGAGAUCUUACCAGUAAAAUUGAUUUUUGCGAUGUUGAUUGUGGCAGAUAAGGGUAAACGUCUCUGCUUCUUAAUCCUCGGUAAACUGUAUUUUUGGAAUAUGAGCUAUCUUGUCCCAAUCCUCCCAUGUUCCCUCUUUGCAUCGUUCCUCUAAUGUUGGGCAUUCCCAAAUUGUCAGAACCUCAAGAGAAGUGAGGUGUCGAAUACCCUCCGGCAAGCAUCGCAAUCCUUUACAGCUAUAAAUCUGUAGAUUUCGAAGGGAAGUGAGGUGUCGAAUACCCUCCGGCAAGCAUCUCAAUCCUCUACAACUCGAAAUGUGUAGAGCUCGAAGGGAUUGAAGACCUUCCCAAUUUUGCUCUGGUAAGGACUCCAAUUGUGGGAACCAAUCUACUUCCAGAUAUUGAAGACAAGUAAGGUUUUUGAACAUCCCCUCUGGGAAGGAUGUUAUUCCUUCACCCUCCAUUAGGGUAAGCUGAGUAAGACCACGGAAGGUAGAGAUUGACCUCAGUAACUCAUUGUUACAUCCAUCCACAUAGAGGCCUUCAAGAGAUGGAAGAGAUGGCAGUCCAAGUUUAUGGCAAUAUGAGAUUUCCAAGUAAGAAAGACAAGGAAACAUCUCCCCUCUUUCCACUUUCAAUAACCCCUCUAUGUUUCGUAGGUAUCGUAAAUGGAGAUCCAUCAGAGAUCGGAAAACCAUCACCUCCACACCAUCCUGAGAUUCAUCAUCAUCCAAGUAUUUCAGAUUAUCCAUAUAAGAUAAUUCCAGUUUUUUUAGAGAUGGUAGUUUACCAAGUAACGGAAGCCGCACAAUUUUGUUGCAAUUCCGAAGUUCAAGAGAAAUUAAAUUACUAAGAAGGCUUAUCCAACUUGGUAACGAUAACCCUUCAUUGUAAUUUAUUGUCAAGCAUUUGAGAUUUGAGUGAGGUUGAAGCUCUUCAAGUACUUGCUCAGCACUAAUUAUAGAUUCCUGUUGGGAUAUCCAUGACAAGCAUAAUUCAUGAAGGUCUUUUUUACCCAUCAAAUUAGCCGCUUCAGCUUCAGAUAACCUGCCAACAUUGUUUAAUCCUUGGAUAUGCAGUUUUCCACCGAGGUUUAGAUCACGUAACUCUGUCAAGCUAUUCCCUUUCUCUACACUAACAAUGUACACACUUAAUGUUCUUAGACAAGUUAAUUUUCCAAUGUUAGGAAACAUUUGAGACAAAGACCGACAUUCUUCAAUGACUAUAUGCCUAAGAUUUUG
RNAcentral lists this long non-coding RNA (83712 nucleotides) under Medicago truncatula (barrel medic). RNAcentral's name for it is "long non-coding RNA (MTRU_LNC003450)". The record is from RNAcentral. Lineage: Eukaryota; Viridiplantae; Streptophyta; Magnoliopsida; Fabales; Fabaceae.